GAUCCUUGGCCUAUCUGUGUGGGAAAGGAGAGGGUUUGGCUAUGUUUUACGGCGUCGGAGGAGGUGAAGUGAUGAGGGAUUAUUUUGUUGUUGUAGCCGGUGUGAAUGGAGAUCUCGGAAGCCAAUCGGUUGGAUGGGUUGUGUCGCCGUGAAAGUUGUUGGAGGAAGGGUUUUACCGUGGUGGCGAUUUUUGUGUUUAAUGGGGUCUUGCCGGCGACGGAGGGUUUGGUGAAGGCCACACAGAAGGUUUGUUUGUAUGGUUGUGGUUAGGUGAUUGUUAGGUGAUGAGUGUUGGAAUGCGGCGUAUCACGGUGCGGGUGGAAGGCGAAAUAUGGUAUUAAUGUUAUUGUGAGGGUCGAUGAAGAAAAAGAAGGGUAAAAGGAGAGGAAUGGCGAGGAGGAGCUUUGACGGGGGAAGGAGGUUGUAGGAGGAUGACGUCAGAGACCUGACGGGGGAAGGAGGUUGUAGGAGGAUGACGUCAGAGACCUUUGGGAGAAGAAGAGGGUCCUUCCCAAGAGAGAAAGAUCAAAAAUUCUUUAAUUCGUCUCUUUCGUUUUCUUUUAUUUUUUUUCUAGCAGACCAAAAGAGAGAAUUCUGUUGGUGAGUGGGGAUGAAACCAAUCCCUUUUUGAUUGGUGGGAGCGGUCCCUCUCUAAUCCCUUCACCAACUAUUAAUCAAUUUAUUUUCUACUCCUUUUUUUUGUUUUUUCGCCAGCUGUCCUCUUGGAGAGAGGGAGUACUAUUGUGAGCUGUCAUCAACAAUGUCGUUGGGAAUGGAAGGGGGUGACGUGUGUGGUGUGUGCAUUAGGGAAUAACCUUUUAUUUUAACCAAAUAUAAAAUGAGAUAAGAGUGCCACAUGGAGCUCACUAAUUGGACCAAGGAGAUAUUUUAUUUUUUUAAUUUUAUUAAUUAACUAAAUAAAUUAAAUGUUAGUUUAUAAUUGAUUAAUAAGAGAAAAUGAGGAUAAUGCAUGUGAUCAUUUGAUUAAAUUUGAAUCGACGCUUCAGAUUUAAAUCAAAGAAGCAUACGAAAAUUUAAAAUGCCUACAAUGUCUCUUCUAAAUGAUUUAAUGAAUUUAAAACAAAUUAAAUCAAUUAAAUUAAAUAAAACUCACAAUUUUAAAAAUGAACGUGAUAAAAAUAAAAUAAUAACACAAAAUUUAUAUUUUAUUAUCCCGGUUAGUUUAACGAAAGAAUAAAAAUAAAACAACUAAGAAUGAAUAAAAGUCGGACACAAAUUUGCUCGAAAAAUUAAAUCGGACACACUAAAAUGAUCAGUGUGAAAUAAAUUUAUUGGAAAAAUACAGCGUUUAAUUUAAUUUUGAAAUAAAUUUUGACCGGUUAAAAGGCUCAAACGGAUCAAAAUGCGACCGAGAAAGUUGUCGAAAAAUAUAAUGAGCACACCAGGUUAAACUACGUGAACCAUAGAUUAAUAAUACUGACGUCUGCAAGCUUGAUUUCAAAACUUUUUACCCGCUGAUUUUGCAUGUACUUGAGGAAUGAUUUAACCAAUUUGUCUGUAUAUUCAAGAAUUUAUUCUGACUGAUAUUUUAGGUAUUAUUCAUGAUAAAAUGAAAUAUUAUGCUAUACAUAUGAUACAAACUGAAAUUAAAAUCGAAUUUAUGAAAGUUUUAAAAUGUCCGGACAAAAUUGGGGUAUGAUACCAUGUAGCUUGCAUAGGGGAGAAUAAAAAACCCAAGGUUCGGUGGUUUGAUUCUCCGUCACCUCCAUCUUCAUUAGCUCUCAGAUUUUUGUGCUUAGGAUUCUUGAUGUUAACUGCUUAAUUUUCAGAAUUUGUUAAGCUAUAAUUAAGAGAAAGAUUAGGAUAGGAGUGUUGGAGAGGAGUAAGAAUUUGGAGCCUUUUUCCUUGAAUCCGGACAACUCUGCCGCCUCCGGUGCUGCGGUGCCGGAACUCCGACAGUGGUUCUGCUUUGCCUUCAUGUUGGGAUUGUUUGACUGGUCCAAGGAGUGUUCACUCCAUACCAUUCAUUUCCAUGUGUAGCAUUAACAUGCAUGCUGAUAGCAUUUUUUCGUCUUCAUUAUUGGUGCUGAAUUCUUGCUAACUAUGUUGUUUGAGCCUUAGGCCAAGCUACUGUUCAUCUUAAUCAUGAAAGUCUCGUAAUUAAUUAAUCGAUUCCAAUUCCAAUUCUGUUUUUGACAUUACUCUUGAUGUUGUUUGUGUAUGAAAUAGUUUUUAAUUCCUGUUUUUGGCAUUUUUGAGUCACAUAAUUGUAGAGGUAAAUAGCUUAAUUCAUGUUCAAUUAAAGAUUAGGAUUAGGUAAUUAGUUAGGAAUUAGGCUUAAUCAUGUGCAUGUUAGACUAAUUUCUUAAUUUUUCCAGACUUUGUUUUCACGUGAUCAACCAUGCUAGGCUUAGAAUUUCAUUUGGUUUACCAUGCUAAUUUCCAUGUACAUGAGUAAUCUCACUUUGACUAGAUUACGUUUCAUUUGUGGUUAAGGGCUGAACUGAAAAUUCCAUUUCAUUUUAAUUUGAUAUACGUUUGUUCAUCACGAUCAUCAUAUCGCACCAUGCUAUUAUCAUACCCUCUCAUUCAUUUGAGUCGGCAUUUUAAUUCCUUCUUAUUUGAUGCAUACUAACCAGUGUUGUUUUGUGGCGACAUGCAAAUAAGAGAUCUCAACACUAUCCAAAUCCCUUUUAUUUUUAUUCGUUAGUUUGUAGUAUGUGAAGUGCCAUGCCACUUGUAUGGUUUAUACAUGGCACAUGAGUUGUAAAUUAUAUUUCCCUUUCAUGCCUUCAUGUUGUAUUAUGUGGAUCCAUCCCCUCAUUAUGGGUUAAAUGUUCCCCCUCCCCUAGUCAUGUAACAACUUAAAUUUACUGCUUUCUAGUUAGUUCACCAUGCAUGUUAAUAACCAAGAUAAAAUACAAAACGAUAAAAAAAUCAUUUUUGAAAGAAACAAAAGGUACUUGAUUCAAUGUCAAGUUUUUUUUCCAAAUAAAACUCACACCAUUGCAACGCAAACACUCGAUUUGACACCAAGUAUUUCCCACCCUUUCUUUCCCAUCUUAUCUCCUCAAUCGACCACUAUUUCAAAAUCAAUAAGCAAACCCUUCAUCCAACGUUAAAUGGUCCUUUUUUAAAUCAAAUUCAAAAACACAAUAAAUACGAUUAGGAUUGUAUGCCACGAGCCUUAAGUGGUAAAGAAGGGAUGAGAAUGGAGCUUUCCUACACUCGUUCUGAAUACUUCGAACACAAGACGUUUGGCUUGGUAGUUUUAGGUAUUCACCUUUAUCCAUAGUCUUUAGUGCAAUCCAUAAUUAAUAACACUUUCUUAAAACAUAAAAAUAAUCCAACGCAUUCAAACCUUUUGUUUGAGCCUUAGGGCGACGCAAUCGAAAAUCCUUCUUCAAGGUAAUAAAAAUCAACCAAACAAACAAACCUUUUAAACCCAUGAACUAUGGGGCUCUGAUUUCUCACUUCAACAAGUGGGCAUACGUAGGCACAAGGACCCAAAUCCUUGGCGAGCACACUAAUUUAAAAUCUACCUCCACUCCGCAAGCCUUUGGCAAGAAAACAUUCGAUAAAUAACAUCCACGUAAGCGCAAACAUCCUAGAUGGUUCCCAUGGAGUAACAUGGAUGUGAGGGGUGCUAAUACCUUCCCCUUGCAUAACCGACUUCCGAACCUGUUCGUGGUUGCGAUGACCAUUCUUUGAGGUUUUCUAGAUAUUUUCCCUUUCCUUUAGAAUAAAUAAAAACCGAUGGCGACUUUGUAUUUUUCGCGUAGCGACAACUAACGACUCUGGUUGGGAUAUGCAGACAGCUUGUUGGGACUUCCCUAGCGAGCUGGAGACUCUGCUAGGGACAACUCUCUAAGUAAUUCAAGCCUAACCUAGGUCGCUUCCUUGCGUGUGUGGGUGUUUAUCCUUUUGAUUGUUUGUUUUAUUUAUUGCCUUUCGCUUUAAAUUUUGUAAUAUAUGUUACUUGGAUCCAUUGUUCUAUGAUACCGAAUGGAUGACACCUUAAUUGCAAGAAGCCUUGUGGUAAAGACUCUCCACCCGAGUCUAGCGUGGAAAUUAAGAUAGGAUAGGUUGUGUAGUAUGGGCCACCAAGAAGCUUUUCUCGUAAGGGUCGAUACGAGAAUCUCGCUUAGAGUAGAUUCUUUUGGAGAUGUUGACGACUGUCAAGCUUUUGGCGUAAGCGAUCAAUGUCUUCAUUAGGAUCAAUGACUCUAAGGACCUUCAUAGAAUAUUGAACCUUUGACUAAUUAAUAUUGAUGGUCGCGUAGUGCGGGUCCCUAAGAAGCUUUUCUCGCGUGGGUCGGUACAAAGAUCUCACUCAAAGUAGAUUUUCUUGAUCGAGUUGUCGACCGACAAGCUUUUGUUGUAAGCGAAAAACAGUCAAGGAGGUCCAUGACUUUAAGAACCUUGUCUAGAACCCGAUGUCGAUGGUUACGUACUGAGGGUCCCCGAGAAGCUUUUAUCGUGUGGGUUGGUACGAAGAUCUCACCCAGAUUAGACUCAUUUGAGGGAGUUGACGACCGACAAGCUUUUCCCGUCAGCGCCAAACAGUCAAAUGGAUCGAUGAGUAUGGGGUCCCUAUCUAUAACCCUAGACUACAACCAGUGAGAUCCCUAAUAUGGAGAGAAAUCAGUGUUAUCCUCCAUCCGUAUCUCGAGCCUGUGAUACUACGCCUUCUUGUGUAUGCAACUUGUGAAGCCAUGCUUAUGCACCGUACAUUCAUGCAUUCGUGCAUUCGUGCAUUCGUGCAUUCGUGCAUUCAUGCAUCAUGAGUGAUAAAAACAAAUAUAAUACUCAUGCAUCAUUCACAUAUUAUAUUGCAUUUCGUGAGACCCAUCUCACUAUCACUUGGCCUUUUGUCAGACGAACCACUUCCAACAAAGCUGAUUUCCCGACAUCGGUCUUGAACUUGAAGCAUGUCGUAGAUUACCAUGGAAGAAAUACGAAGAGGUCAAGAAGCGUUGAAGGUCGAAAUCAACCAGCUGAAGACUCAGAUGAGUUUGAUCAUGGAGAUCUUGCAGUCAAUGAUGAGGAAGGAGGGAAAGUCCAUGCCAACUGAUGUACUAGAAGGGGUCACUCCGGUGAGUGUGUCUGACCUCAUUCCACCUUAGGAGCAGCCUCAUGGUUUUCGUCCACAUCCUGUACCUCCAAGGGCUCCGUAUCAGUGACCAUUUCUUGUUCCCCGACCAAGGUGAAGGAACCCUGUGUCGGACCAGUAUCCAAAUCAGCAGUGGAACUUCGCUUAAUAAAGAAGAUAGGGACCAAGAAGGCCUCAAAAGCAGUUUGAUCUAGUUCCCAUGUCGUAUGGUUGAAUCCUACCCCUAUUUCUUAAUAGCUCAUUGGUGUAGUUGAGGGAAGCUAAAUCCCCUCCAACACCUCUUCCUCCAGAUUAUGAUGUGAAUACUAGGUGCGAGUUCCAUUCUAGGACGCCUGGACACUUAAUCGAAGACUGUAAGAGCCUCAAGUACAAGGUACAUGAUUUGAUUGAUUCAAGGGUCAUCGUGCUCACACCGUAAGGCCUGAACAUAAUGAACACUCCCAUGCCUCCACAUGAGGGCACAUCUGCAAUGCCAUGACCGAUGCGAAUGGAAAAUAGGGUAGAUUGGAAGAGUCUGCACCUACGAGUAAAGUUUGAGAAGGAUCCCCUUGAAGAUGAUCAUGUUAUCUUCUGUAAGCCUAGUAAUUCCAGUCUGAGGAUCUGAAUAAGGCCAAUUAUGCCCGUAGUCACUAGUUUUAUUAAAACAUGUUCAUGUGUGAUUUUCUUGAUUGUCAUUUGUAACACUAAUUUGUAGCAAACUAGUUUGUUUUUGAAUAAUAAUGACAUUUUAUUGAAUAUGCAUGUUUUGAAUAAAUCCAUUCGUGGCCACUCAUACUUUAUUUUGUCAAUAUCUAACUUUUGUUUGAGCAAAACCUAGAGGAGGAGGAUGAAAUUGAAAACACGAAAUCACUACUCGUAUAUGUAGAAGCAAGCUUCAAUCCAAGAAUUAUUUUGAUGAAGACAACUUGCAUCAAUGCAAAAAGAGAAGAGCUACAAAGUUAUUUCAAGCAUCAAGUUUUCAAAGCCGCAUAUGCAUUUUGAUCAAGUUUCAUUUUCAAGUCAACCGUUUGCAAGAUUGUUGAUUCACUUCUUAGGUAUAUCUAACUCACUCUUAGAUUAGUAUACAAGUGUUCAACAACCAUGAUCUGGAUUUGCAUCUUUUAACAUAACCAUUUGUUAACACCUUGAAAUGCAAGACACAUUUAUUUUUAAGUAUUUUUCUGCAUUUCAACAGUGUUAACCGGUUAACCAUAUGGGUUAACCGGUUAACAGCCCAGUUUUUCAAAUUCUUUGUUAACGUUUGCAUGCGUUAACCGGUUAACCCAUAUGGUUAACCGGUUAACACUGUUCGUUACAGCAAAAAAUGUUUUUGAAAAAUUAUAUCUUUUCAUCAAUGUUCAUGAGGGAAUUGAUACCUCUUUGAAAAGGUGUUUUGGCAAUAUAAAUUAUUAAAUUUUCAAAAUGAAUUUUGACCUCCAAGAAUUUUCAUACAAACUUCAAAUAAUCACUCUCUCAUAUUUUUCCUUCCAUAAAUUUUUGAAAGUGUUCAUAAUAAAAAUUGUCAUCUCAUUCUAUUGUUGAACACUUGCAUAUUAUCUUUUGAGUGACUUAUUUAUCUAAGGAGAAGAUCAAUCAAGAGAAGAUUGAUAACACUACAUCUUUGAUAAAAUCAUUCAUAGAAUUAUUUCUGUUUGACUUGUGAUCCAGGAUUGUUGGACACAAGGGUUGGUGUUGAAGAGGAUUGUUCUUCAUACACUUGUUUGUCUAUAGGUUAGAUAGUAGGCAUCACCGUUUGUGUGAAUAGGCUGUACCAUAUUCUAACUAUAGUGAAUUCUCUUUCGUGUGAAAGGGGAGUGGAUGUACCUUCGGAUUGUGAAGGGAACCACUAUAAUUUCCGGUGUCGUUUACUUUCCGCAUUUUAAUUUUCCGCACUUAAACAAAAAUAUCCAAAAACCGGAAACUAGAUCGAAGAAAUUUUUAUCACCUAAUUCACCCCCCCUCUUAGGCGCAUUUACAACUUACAUUUGGCAUCAGAGCAAGUUAUAGGUAACUUGUUCCUAGAGAUCCAGCAUGGCUUCCGCAAGCAUAAAUCCGGUUUUCAAAGACGGUGGAAGUAGCAACAAGCCCCCACUCUUCUCCGGAGAAUAUUUCGAUUUCUGGAAAAUAAGAAUGAAGGCACAUCUUGAGGCCCAAGGAGAAGGUAUAUGGGAAGCAGUUGAAGAAGGUCCACACAAACCGGUGAAUGUGGUGAAUGGAGUUGGUACCGCAAAGUUGAAAAACACUUAUGACGAAGAUGAUAGGAAAAAGAUUCUGAAUGAGAAGAAGGCAAUCAACAUACUCCAAAGCGCUCUUAGUAUGGACGAGUUCUUCCGUAUAUCUCAAUGUAAAUCGGCAAAGGAGAUUUGGGACACCUUGGUUGAAACACAUGAAGGAACCACCGAAGUGAAGAGAUCGAGGCUAAACACCCUAAGUCAAGAAUAUGAGAUGUUCCGCAUGCAGCCCGGUGAAUCUAUAGUUGCCUUACAAAAGAGAUUCGUCCAUCUAACAAAUCACUUGAUCGCUCUGGGUAAAACUUUCACUAAUGAUGAUCUCAACCUGAAAGUCCUAAGAUCUUUGACAAGAGAAUGGCAACCGAAAGUGACCGCUAUUUCGGAAAAGAAGAGUCUCUCAACGAUGACAUCCGCGUCUCUAUUUGGAAAACUUCAAGAACACGAAUUGGAACUUGGAAGGCUCGAGAAGCACGAAAGUCAAGAAAAGAAGUCCAAGGGAAUUGCCCUGAAGGUUGAUUCAAAAAGGGACAAAGAUGAUGAGACAUCCGAAGAUGAGAACUUUAUGCUUCUUGUAAAGAAGCUUGGUAAGUUUUUUAAUAAAAAUAAGAAUUCCUCUUAUCCUAAAAAGAAUAACCAUUUCAGGAAAAAGGAAGCAUCCACAUCAAUGCAAGACGUUACGUGUUAUGAAUGUGGACAGCAAGGUCACAUAAAGACGGACUGCCCAAAACUUGCAAAGAAAGGAGGAUUCAAAGGCAAGAAGGAAUUCAAAAACAAAAAGGCUUACGUCGCUUGGGACGAUAAUAAGAUCAGUUCAUCUUCGGAAUCGGAAAGAGAUGAAUGUGCGAACAUGGCUCUUAUGGCUUCACAUCACUCCGAUGAAGAAAUCGAUGAGGUGAGUAGCAAUUUUUCAGUUUAUGACAAUGAUGCACAAGAUGUUAUAAAUGAAAUCUUAAAAGAAUGCAAGACAUUGUAUAAAAUUAUUUCAUCCCAAAAGAAACAAAUUUCAUCCUUAGAAGAAAAAAAUACUGCCUUGGAAAAAUAUAUUGAAAGUGGAAAACAAAAGUUGAUGGAUGAAAAACAAAGUCUUGCAUGUAAGAAUUGUGAAUCUUUAUCUUUUCAAAUUGUUCAACUUAAAAGAGUUUUAGAAAGAUAUGAAAAAGGUCAAAUUGGGUUGGAAGAAAUUCUUAAACACCAAAGGUAUUCUAAUGACAAAAGUGGAUUAGGAUAUUCUAAGUUUUCUAAACCAAGCACAAAUAAGACCAUUUUUGUUAAAGCAAGUGAACAAGUUGCUAAAGAGAAAGUAAACAAUUCUAAAAUUAUGCAUCAAAGUCAUAAAAAGAAAAUGAUUGCUAAGAAGAAGAAUUAUGUUCCUAGAUAUAGAAGUAAUUUUCAACCUACUUGCUUUUAUUGUGGAAUCAAAGGGCACACACCUAAUGCUUGUUAUGUGCGAAACUUUAGCGUUCCAACAGGGCAUUAUGUGUGGGUUAAAAAGGGUACUAACUACCAAGGACCCAAAGCAAUUUGGGUACCUAACAAAACUUGAUUUUGUUUUGUAGGUAUGCUUGAAGACAACCUCGAAUCAAUGGUAUCUUGAUAGCGGUUGUUCAAAGCAUAUGACGGGCGACAUCGACAAAUUUUCACAUCUAUCUUUAAAGGCCAAAGGAUAUGUUACAUACGGUGAUGACACCAAAGGGAAGAUCCUUGGAGUAGGAACCAUUGGAGCACCUCCUGUUACCAUCAUCGAAGAUGUCCUUUAUGUUGAAGGCCUAAAGCACAAUUUACUAAGUAUAAGUCAAUUGUGUGACAAAGGGUUCCGAAUCAAUUUCACAAAAGAUGAAUGUGUGAUAGAGCAUGAAGUCACCCAUGACAUCUUGCUAAAAGGUAAAAGGGUUAAUAAUAUUUUUAUGACUUCUUUUGAUGAUUCUUCCUUGAAGGUAAAAUGCCUAAUGACGAACAACAACGAGGCUUGGCUAUGGCAUAAAAGAUUCGCUCAUAUACACAUGGAGCACAUGAACAAAUUAAUAAAGCAUGAUCUUGUCGUUGGUCUUCCAAAGAUUAAGUUCAUCAAGGAUAAGCUGUGUGACGCAUGCCAAAAGGGAAAGCAAACCAAGACAACUUUCAAAUCCAAGAAUGUUGUAUCUUCAUCGAGGCCACUUCAACUCUUGCACAUGGAUCUCUUCGGUCCAUCAAGAACGAAAAGUUUCGGAGGUAAUGUUUACGGUUUGGUAAUUGUUGAUGAUUUCUCUAGAUAUACGUGGACUUUGUUUCUUGUGCAGAAAAGCGAUGCUUUCAAGGCUUUCAAAAAAUAUGCAAAACAAAUUCAGAAUGAGAAGUCUCUUUCAAUAAUCUCCAUUAGAAGUGACCACGGGGGAGAAUUUCAAAACACAUUCUUUGAAGAAUUUUGCGAAAAACACGGAAUUUCCCACAACUUCUCCGCACCACGAACACCACAACAAAACGGUGUCGUAGAGAGAAAGAAUAGAUCCUUGGUGGAACUCGCAAGAACAAUGCUCAGUGACUCCAACCUUCCUAAAUAUUUUUGGGCGGACGCAGUUAGCACAGCAUGCUUUGUUAGCAACCGUGUCAACAUUCGGCCGAUUCUCAAAAAGACUCCGUAUGAGCUUUUCAAAGGAAGGAAACCUAAUAUAUCCUUCUUUCACAUCUUUGGGUGCAAAUGUUUUGUCCUCAACAAUGGAAAGGACAAUCUUGGUAAGUUUGAUGAGAAAUCCGACGAAGGUAUCUUCCUUGGCUACUCCCUUUCUAGUAAGGCUUUUAGAAUUUUCAAUAAAAGAACUCUUACUAUUGAAGAAUCAACGCAUGUAUGUUUUGAUGAAACUAACCCCUCGAAAGAGGAUAACCUUGUUGUUGAUGACGAUGAUGAUAUAAUAGAUGUAUCACAAAAGGAACUUUCAAAUGUUCAAUCAAUUCCACAAGGAGAUGGCUCACCAAUCAUUGAAGAACAUCAUGAUCUACCGAAAGAAUGGAAAACUCAUAGAGAUCACCCCAUCGAUAAAGUUAUUGGUGAUAUUAGCCAAGGCGUUGCAACACGACUAAAUCUCAAAGAUGCUUGUCUCAACAUGGCUUUUGUGUCUCAAAUAGAACCAACCAAAGUCGAUGAAGCCUUAGGCGACGAUCAAUGGAUAGUAGCAAUGCAAGAAGAACUCAACCAAUUCGAAAGAAAUCAAGUUUGGAGUCUUGUACCAAGACCGGACAACAAGCACAUCAUUGGAACAAGAUGGGUCUUCAAGAACAAACUUGAUGAGAAUGGGAUCAUAGUUCGUAACAAAGCAAGAUUGGUCGCACAAGGAUACAACCAACAGGAAGGAAUUGAUUUUGAUGAGACGUUCGCUCCGGUAGCAAGGUUAGAAGCAAUUCGAUUAUUACUUGCUUUUGCUUGUUCUAUGAACUUUCAAUUGUUUCAGAUGGAUGUCAAAAGCGCUUUCCUAAAUGGCUAUAUCAAUGAAGAAGUCUACGUCAAACAACCUCCGGGUUUUGAAGACUUCAAGAACCCCUCACAUGUUUACAAGUUGAAGAAAGCACUAUAUGGUUUAAAGCAAGCACCGAGAGCGUGGUAUGACCGCCUCAGCAACUUUCUAUGUGAAAAGGGAUUUGUAAAAGGAAAGGUUGACAAGACUCUGUUCAUAAAGAAGAUCAAGGGUAACACCUUAUUGGCUCAAGUCUAUGUCGACGACAUCAUCUUCGGUUCAACAAAUAAAGAUCUUUGCGAAGAGUUUUCAACCAUGAUGCAAGGAGAAUUCGAGAUGUCCAUGAUGGGAAAAUUGAACUAUUUUCUUGGACUACAAAUCAAGCAAACCAAGGAUGGCAUCUUCAUCAACCAAUCCAAGUAUUGCAAGGAAUUAUUGAAAAGAUUUGAUAUGGAUAGUUGCAAAGUGAUGUCCACUCCUAUGGGAUCCGGAACGUACGUUGAUCAAGAUGAAUCCGGAAUGUCAAUAGAUAUUACAAAAUAUCGAGGUAUGAUUGGUUCAUUACUAUAUUUGACGGCAAGCCGUCCUGACAUUAUGUUUAGUGUAUGUUUGUGUGCACGCUUUCAAGCAAACCCGAAGGAAUCGCAUCUCACCGCCGUGAAGAGGAUUAUGAAAUAUCUCAAAGGAACAACGAACGUCGGACUAUGGUAUCCAAAAGGUAGUAUAUGCUCCUUGAUUGGUUAUUCUGAUGCUGACUAUGCAGGCUGUAAGACCGAUAGAAAAAGCACAAGUGGUACCUGUCACAUUCUCGGGAAUGCACUAGUGUCGUGGGCAUGCAAGAAGCAAGCAUGUGUCGCACUUAGCACGGCCGAAGCAGAGUACAUUGCAGCAGGCAGUUGUUGUGCACAAAUUUUAUGGCUUAAGCAACAACUUCUGGAUUUUGGUGUAGACCUCGGCUGCAUUCCUCUUCGAUGCGAUAACACAAGUGCCAUCAACAUCACAAAGAACCCGGUCAUGCAUUCAAGGACAAAGCACAUAGAUAUCCGACAUCAUUUCCUUCGAGAUCACGUGCUUAACGGAGAUGUAGAUGUUACGUUCGUGGAUACACAUAACCAACUCGCCGACAUAUUCACAAAACCAUUGGCUAAAGAGCAAUUCUUCAAGAUUCGGCGAGAACUUGGUAUUCUCAAUGAAGGUGACAUCUAACCUUGUCUUCAAAUUACUUGUUAUGUGGUAUAGUUGCUAAAAAUGUGUUUACUUUCAGUUUUUAUGUUAUGCAAUGCUAGCACUUCUUUUUCGCCGUUUUCCGUUUUUCUUACUUUCGCAUGUCCAAAUAUUAUCCGUUUUAAAAUAUUUUUAAAUCGAAAGUUGCGUAUUGAUAAGUGCUAACACUUUGUGCAAAAAUUUUGAAAAGAUCUUUUCCCGAUUCUUCCAAACGGAGCUGCUGUUUUUUUUCUACUUUUUGAAAAAUUCAGUCCGUUAACCGGUUAACGGUAUAGGUUAACCGGUUAACACCUUCCAACAACAACUCUGUUUUUCGUUUUUAAAUACAACAUUUUUAAAUUAAUUGUUUUAUUUUUAUUACGUGUGUUUAUGUUCAAUGCAUGUGCUUUACUCUUCCACCUUCUCCUCAUAACUCUCUCCUCCCUCAUUACUCUCCAUAAACCCUUCAUCUCUUUAUAUUCAACUUUCAUAACUCUCAAACCCCUUUUCCGAAAAUCCAUCUCUAAACCCUAGAAUCUUCAUCUUCUUCAUGGCUCCACCAAGAAUGGGAAAGGCUCCUGUAUCAUCAUCUAGCAGUGAAGAGGAAGAGUUGAAAAUGGAAACCGCCAAGAAAAGGAGGAUGGAUUUCAAAGUCAGGGUUAGACAUCUGCUUAAGGGUAAGUAUGUGAAUCUCAAAUCCUUCACUACUUUCUCUUUCCCUGAGUUGUUGAGAUACCAAGGAUUGCAUGCGUUCAUCACUGAUAAUGGGAAAAUUUACACUGAUUUGGUAAAAUCUUUUCUGAAUCAUUUUACUUUAAAUCUGAAUGAUGAUGAACAACACAUGCUGUCUGCAACUGUAAGAGACUCUGAAAUUGUUACAGACCUUAGGACGUUGGCUGCGUCUCUUAAGAUUCCAUAUUCUGGUUUUUUCCUUCGGAAAGGUGUUAAUCAUGAGGAAGGAAAAUGGGCUCAGUAUGAUAAGAUGGAAUACUACUACUCUAUCUGCAGAUUUCCCAGGGAGGUUGUUAUGUCGGGACAGCGCACUUCUCGCAUACUCUGCUAUGCUAAGAAUCUGUCGGUUGACGAUCGUAUGCUGCAUUAUGUUAUCUGCCAUGUCCUGCUGCCCAAGGAUUCCAACCUGUCUCAAAUCAAUGAUUUGGAAAUGCAAGUUCUGUUUGCAGUGAAGAACAAAAUCCGAGUUAAUUGGCUGCCCACUAUGAUGUAUCAUCUGAGACAGCAACUUUCUCUCAAAACAAGGCUGCCAUACGGUCGCCUUAUCUCAAGGAUUUUGGAACUCACAGAUAUGGAAAUCGGGAGAGAACCGUUUUUGGCUAUGACCACUACCGCCAAUGAAAUCAACGGCGUUACCAUCAUGAAAAAUACUGGAAUUAUUCAAAGCAACGACGGCUCCUACAAAUAUGAUGAUGGGUCCUCCUCUUCAAACUUCCCUAUUCCGGAAGGUGGCAUUACCAAUGAGUUUCUCUAUACUACCAUGAUGAGCCACCACCGUGAAACCACCCGUGCUAUCAAGAGUCUUCGGAACCUAGUGUUGAGUUCCCGCAACCUUCCUGUAGAAGAUGAUGAAGGUGAAGACGGUAGUGAAGCGGAUGGCGAGGAGGAUGAGGCCGGUUCGGAAGAAGAAUAGAGCACUAUGUUUUUUUUUCUAUGUUUCUGUUAUAUGUUGUUCUAAUAUUUUUGUUGUUAAACUAUGUUUAUGCUAUUUAUGUUUACCAAACACUUAACUUUUAAUCCAUAGUUAUUUUGUCAUAAUAUGUGAUUCAAUGUGUGUAUGCUUGUAUACUUGUUUUUUUUUUAGGUCUCUUCCUUUUUGCUAAUGACAAAGGGGGAGAAGACUUGUUUCUCUAAUGGUUUUCUAUGCAGAAUUAUUGUAUGCCUCUCAUUUAGGGGGAGUUCUUAAAUUUAGGGGGAGAAUCAACUUAGAGAAACUUCACUUUCAUGCAUCUAUUUNAGACGUUACGUUGUUUGAAUCGUGGGACAGCCAAGUCACAUAAAGAACGGACUGCCAAAACUUGCAAACGAAAAGGAGGAUCUCAAAGGCAAAAGGGAAUUCAAAAAACAAAGCUCUACGUCGCUUGGGACGCUAAUAAGAUCCGUUCAAUUCUCUCCGGAAUCGCAGAAAGAAGCCAUGAGAUGUCAGCGAAACAUGACUCACUUCAUGGACUUCACAUCCACUCCGCGAUGAAAGAACUCAGAGAGAGGAAGUAGCAUAUUUUCACAGACUUCUAACUGACAAUUGCAUGCCAACGAUGUUAAAUAAUGAAAACUCUCUAAGCACAGAACACUGCAAAGACCGAAUGUUAUAAAUAUUAUCAAUCCAAAAGAACCACAAUUGUUCACAUCCUUAGAAGAAAAAAAUACUCGCCUCCUGGAAAAUAUAUUGAAGUGGAAACACAAGUUGAUGGAUGAACAAACCCAAGAGUCUUGCAUGUAAGAAUUGUGAACUCUUUACUACUUUCAAAUUGUUCACUACAAAGAGUUUCGAAAUAUGAAAAGGCCCCAAUUGGGUUGGAAAAUUCUUCUUAACACAAGGAUAUUUCAAUGACAAGAGUGCUUAAAGACCUUUCUAACUAUUUCUAACCAGACACAAUAAGACCAUUUUUGUUUAAGCAAAGAUGCAACAUUGCCAAGGGCGCAAAGUUACCAACAAUUCUCAAAUUAAUGCAUCAAAGAUCACUAAAGAAAUAUGCUCAAGCAGAAGACAGAUUAAUGUUCCCUAGAUAUAGACAGUAUUUUCCAAGCCUAUUGCUUUCUAAUGUGAAAUCAAAGGGCACACCUAAUGCUUAGUUAUGUGCGAACGCCGUCUGCGUAUCAACAGCAGGAAUAUGUAGUGGGUUAAAAGAGUAUACUACACAAGGACCCAAAAGCAACCUAUGGGUACCUACCCACAAAACACUUGAUUUUGUAUUUCGUAGGUAUGCUGAAGCACUCGAAUCCAAUGGAUAUCUUUCGAUACGCGGUUGUUCAGCACUAUGCGAGCGACAUCGGACAAUUCUUCCACUAUCUUUAAGCAAAGGAUUAUUACAUUCACGGUACGAUGACACAAGGCAGCAUCUUCGGACGUAGGAACCCAUUGGAGCAACUCCUGUUGACCUCAUCGAGAAUGACACCUGUAUGUGAAGGCCUAACCACAAUUUACUCAAGCUAUAGUUCAAUUGUGUGACCAAAGAGGUUCGAAUCAAUUCUCACAAAAGAUGAAUGGUGAACUAGAGACAUGAAGUCACACUCAUGAAAUCCCUUGACUCAAAAGGCUCAAAAGGCGAUUAAUAUACUUUUAUGACUUCUUUUGAUGAUUCUUCACUUGAGGCUAAUGCACCUAUAGAACGAACCCAACCGGCUUUGGCCGGCUAUGGCAUAAAGAUCGCUCUUCACACAUGGAGCACCUGACAACUUAAUAACAGGAUCUUGUCGUCUGGUCUUCCAAAGAUAUAAGUUCAUCCAAGGAAGUUGCAAACCUGUGACACCUGCCAAAGGGCAAAGGCAAACCAGCACGCACUUUCAAAAUCCCAAGAUGUUGUGUCCCUUCCGCGUACAACGACGGCACUUCACUCUUGCACAUGGAAUCCUACUUCGGUCAUCAGAACGAAAAAGUCUCGCGGACCGUAAAAUGUUAGAACGGAUCUAGAAGGUAAUUGUUGCAUGACUUCUCUAGAUUACGUGCGACUUUGUUUCUUGUGCCACGCAACAAGCGCGUUUGCUCUUCAGGCGUUCAAAAAAUAUGCAAAACAAAUUCACGCACAUGAGAAGUCUCUUUCAUAUUUCCAUUAUAGAAGCUGACCACGGGAGAAUUUCAAAAACAUUCUCUUGAAAAUUUUUGCGAAGCACGAAUUUAUCAUAUAUCCGCACCACGAACAACACAACCAACAACCCGGUGUCGUAAGAGAGCAAAGACAUAGUCCUUGGGCGAACUCGACAAAGAACAGAUGCUCCAGUGACUCCAACCUUCCCUAAAUUUUCGUGGGCGAGCACCGCAACGCUUACGCAAGCUGCUUUGUCUAGCAACGUUGUUUCACAUUCGAACCGAUUCUCAAAAACUCCGUAUGAGCCUUUUCAAGGAAGGCACCUCAAUAUAUCAACUUCUUUUCACAUCUUGAGGUGCACCACUGUCAGCUUUGUCACUCAACAUUGGAAGGACAAUUUCGUAAGUUUCGAUGAGAAUCGCGCCGAAGGUAGCUUCCUUGAAGCAUACUCCCUUUAUCAGGCUUCUUAGGAAUUUUCUAAAAGAAAUUUACUAUAAGAUCAACGAUGUAUGUCUUUGAUCAACUUACCUCGAAAGAGGCAUAACCUUGUUGUUGAUGACACAUGAUGGACAUAAAGAGGCUAUCAAAGGGAACUGCAUCAAAUGUUCAACUCCAUUCUACAAGGAGGGGGAAGGCGGAUCACAAUCAUUGAGAUUCCAUGCUCUACCGAAGAGUAGGAGACUCAUAGAGAUCACCCAUUGAUAAAGUUUAAUUAGUGCAUAUUAGCAAGGCGUCCUCUGCAACACGACUCAGAAUCUCACAAGUGCUUGUCUCACACAUGGCUUUGUGUCUAAAUAAACCACCAAAGGUCGAUUGAGCAUUAGGCGACCAUCACAUGCGAUUAGUAGCAAUGCAAGAAGAAUCACAAUUCGAAAGAAACUCAGUUUGCGUAUCCGUUACCAACGACCAAGACAACCAGACAUCAUUGAACAGAUGCGUCGUCAAGACAACUUGCAUUUCGAGGUUCAUAGGGAACACAACCAAAACCAAACGGGGGAACAUAUGGACUAUGUUACGGUUACAAAGCGAGAUUCGGUCGCACAAGCUACAACAGACGAAGGAAAUUGAUUUUGAUGAGAACCGUUCGUCAACCAGGUAGCAAAGUUAGAGGCAAGGUCGAUUUUACUUCUGUUUGCAUUGGUUUAUGCAACUUUCAAUUGUUUUCGAUGAUGUCAGAGCGCUUCCUAAUGGCAAUAUAUCAUGCAGAAGUGCUACGUCAAACACCUCCGGGUUUGACCGACUUCAGAACCUUCCAUGUUUUACGUUUGAGAAAGCACUAUAUGGUUUAAAGCAAGCACCCGAGAGCGUCGGAUAUGAACCGCGACUCAGCAAAACUUUCUAUUGCAAGGGAGUUUGGUAAAGGAAAGCGUUGACAAGUUUGAUUUACAUAAGGAUCAAGGGUAAACUUAUUGGCGCAGUCUAUGUCGACGCAUCAUUCUUCGGUUCACCAAAUAAAGAUUCUUUGCGAAGAGUUUUUUCACCAAUGAUUGCAAGGAGCAAUUCGAGAAUGUCCAAUGACUGGGAAAUUGCAACUAUCUUUCGUGGACUACAAAAUCAGCAAACAGGGUGCCAUCUUCAUCACCAUCAAGUAUGCAAGGAAUUAUUUGAAAGAUUCGAUAUGGUAGUAUGCCAUGUAUGUCCACUCCUAGGGAUCCGGAACGUACGUUUGAUCAAGCUGAAUCCGGAAUGUCAAUGAUAUACCAAUAUCCGAGGUAUAUUGGUUUCAUACUAUAUUUUGCGCAGUGGACCUGACCUAUAUGUUUAGUGCUAAAUGUUUGUGUGCACGCUUUCAAGCACAACCCGAAGGAUCGCAUCUCCACGCCGUGAGGAUUAUGAAAUAUAUCACAAGGGAACACACGAACGUGGGAUAUGGUAUCCAAAGGUUAGUAGUAUGCUCUUGAUUGGUUAUUUUGCAUGUGCGUAUGCGCCUUAAAGACCGAUCGAAAGCAGUAGGACCUGUCACAUAUUCGAAUGCACUAGUGUCCGUGGGCAUGCAAGAGCAGAUGUGUCGAUUAGCCGGCCGAAGAGACACAGUGAGCAGCAGUGGAUUGUGCCACAAUCUCUUCCUGGCAUCACGCACACACUUCUGGAUCUUUGUUAGCUCGCUGCGAUUCUCUUCGAAUGCCGAUAACACAAGUGCUAUCACUCCAAGAACCGGUCUGACUUCAAGACGGAGCAAUACAGCUUCCGACAUUCAUUUCCCUCCAGAUCGUGCUUAACGGAGUGUAGAGUUACGUCUGGAUACACCUACAACUCAAGCUGACAUAUUCCAAACACAUUGCGCUAAGCAGCAAUUCUUCAGGAUUCCUCCGAGAUUGGAUUACUCAUGAAGGUGCAUCUAACUUGCUUCAAAUUACUUGUUAUGUGGCAUAGUUGCCUAAAAAUGUGUUUUCUUCAGUUCUUUAGUUUAUGCUGCUACAGCAUUCUUUUUCGCGUUUUCCGUUUUCUUACUUUGCAUGAUACCAAAUAUUAUCGUUUAAACAUAUGUUUAACUCGAAGGUUGCGUUUGAUAAGUGCGAACACUGUGUGCAAAAUUUUGCAAAGAUCUUCGAUUUCACACGGAGCUGCUGUUUUUUUUCUACUGUUUUGACAAUAUUCGUCGGUUACGGUUACGGUAUUAGGCAGCCGCAGUUAACACCUCCAUCCCACAACAACUCUGUUCUUCGUUUUAACGGAAAUUUUUAAAUUAUUGUUUUAAUUUUCUGUUGUGUGAUUUAUGUUAAUGCCAUGUGCCUUUACUAUUCCCUUCUCCUUCAUAACUCUCUCCUCCCUUCAUUACUCUCCAUAACCCUUCAUUCUUUAUUUCACCUUCAUACAACUUUCAAACCCCUUUUCGAAAUCCAUCUCAUAAACCCUAGAAUCUUCAUUUUUCUGGCUCACAAGUGGGACAAGGCUCCUGUAUCUUUCAUCUUCCAGCAGUGAAUGAGGAGAGUUGAAUGGAAACGCCAGAAAGCGAGGAUGGAUUCAAAGUCAGAGGUGGAUCUGUUAAAGCGGUAAGUAUGUUGAAUCUCAAUACCAUUCAUACUUUUUUCACUGAGUUGAUUGAGAAUCUCAAGAUGUGCCAUGAGUUUAACUGAUAAUGGGAAAUUUCAGCUGUUUGUAAAAUCUUUUCUGAACCAUUUUACUUUAAAUUGAAAUGUAUGAUGAACUACACAUGCUGUCGGCACCUGUAAGAGACUCGUGGAAAUUGUACAGACCUAAAAGGACGUUGGCUUUGGCGGGGCGGGCUUUUAUUCUCUAUUAGAUUCCAUAUUCAGGCUACGUUUCCUUCAGGAAGUGUUAUCGUGAUGGGAAAUGGGCUCAGUAUGGUAAGAGGGAUAUAACUACUCUAUCUGCGAUUCCAGGGCAAGGUUGUUACUGUCGGGAAACGCACUUCUCGCCCACUCUGCAUAUGGCUUAGAAUUCUGUCGGAUUGCACGCAUGAAUAUGCGUGGCAUUUAUGUUAUCUGCCAUGUCCUGCUCGCCCAAGGUUCAACCUGUCUCAUCAAUUGUUUGGAUUGCAAGUUCUGUUUAGCAGUGAGAACACGAACUCCGGACGUUACAUAGGCUGCCACUAUGAAUCGUUUAUCUGAGACAGCACUUUCUCUCUCCAAACAAGCUUGCAUCGUCGCCUUAUCUUCAGGAUUUGUGGAACUCACAGCAUAUGGGAAAUCGGGGAGAGAAGUUUCUUCGAUUCAUGACCACUAAACCGCAAUGACAGCACAGGCGGCUUACAUCAUGAAAUACUGAAUUAUUCACAGCAACGACAGGCUCCUACAAAUAUGAUGACUGGGUCCUCCUCUUCAACUUCCCUAUUUCCGCAGUGGCCCAUGACCAAAUGCAGUUAUCAUCUUACUACCAAUCAUGAGCCACACGUGAAACCACCCGUGCUAUCAGCAGUCUUCGGCAGCUAAUGAUGAGUUCCGCAACCUUCACUGGGUGAGUGCUAUAGGUGAGAGACGUUAGUGAAAGCGAGGGAUGCGCGGAGGAUGAGGCGGUCUCGUAGAAAGCAUAGAGACACUAUGUUUUUUCUCUUCUUGUUUCUAGUUAUAUGUUCAGUUCUUAAUAAUUUUAUGUAUGUAUACUAUGUUCUAUGCUAAUUUAUGUUUACCAACACUUAACCCUUUUACAUCCAUAGUAUAUUUGGUAACAUAAUAGUGAUUCAAAAUCGUGAUGUAUGCUCUAAUACUAUUGUUUUUUCUUUUAAACGUCUUUCGUUAUUUGCUAAUGACACCAACGAGGAAAGACUGUCUUCUCUCAUGCGUUUCUAUGCAACAAUUAAUUGUAAUGCCUCUCACUUUCAGGGGAGCAAGUUUAAAUUUAGGGAGAGAAUCAAACUUAGCAGAACUUCGCUUUCAUAGAGCACUCUAUUUUCAAAGUGCAGGGGUAUCAUCAAAGGGGAGAUUGUAGAAGCAAGCUUCAAAUCAAAGAUUAUUUUGAUGGAGACACUUGAUCAAUGCAAAGGAGAUGAGCUUACAAAGUUAUUUCAAGCAUCAGUUUCAAGCGCUAUGCUUUUGUCAGCCUUCAUUUUCAAGUCACGUUUAGCAGCUUGUUGAUUCAUUUUCUGGUUAUCUAACUCACUUUUGAAUAGAAUUAGCAUAGUGUUCCAAACCAUGAUCUGAACUUUGCAUCUUUUACAACUAACAUUGUUACACCUCUGAAUGCACGAACAUUUAUUUUUAGUUAUUCUGCAAUCAUUACCGUGCUAACGGUUAACCUAUGGGGUUAACCGGUUAACGCCAGUUUUUUCAAAUUCUUUGUUAAUGUUUGCACUGCAGUUCGACGUUAACCCUAUGGUGUACGCUGUACAUGUCGUGUACCUGCAAAUCCAUGUUUUGAACUUAGUAUCUUUUUCAAUGGUCAUGAGGGAAUGAUACUCUUUGAAGGAUUUGUUGUGGCAUUAAUUAUAAUUUUUCACAUGAUAAUUUGACGUCAGACAUUUUCAUACAACUCUCAAUAUAAUCUCUCAUGCAUAUUUCCUUCCGUAUCAUAACAUUUUUGGAAGGUUCAUAUAAAAUUGUCAUCUCAUUCUUUGUUGAACACUUGACUAUAUUCUUUUGAGCGUGACUUAUUUAUCUAGGGCAUAUCAGAGAGGAUUGAUAAACUACAUCUUUGGAUAAAUCAUUUAGAUUACUUUAUGUUUGACUUUGUUGCAUGGAUUUGUUGGCACAAGGGUUGUGUCGUUUGAAGAGACUUGUGGUCUCAACGUUGUUUGUUAAUAGGUUAGAUGCUAGGCAUCCAGACGUUUGUGUGAUAGGGCUGUUACCAUUACUCUACUAUAGUUGAUUUCUCUUUCGUGUGAAAGGGAGUGGAUGUACUUCGAUUGUGAGGACACACUAUAAUUAUUCCGGUGUCGUUACUUUCCGACAUUUUUAUUUUUCCGCACUUUAACAAAAAUCAAACGGAAAGUAGCUCGAAGAAUCAUUUUCAUCACCUACAUUCACCCCGCCCCCCCCCCUCUUAGGCGCAUUUACAACUUACAGUAUAUUGUUGAAUAAAACCUUGCUGAUGAUGUAAGGCAUUGUUUCAAAUCCCAAACACCAAAGAUAUAAGGAAGAUAAUCCCUAGUCAACCCCUUCGAGCCAAGGAGUAGGAGUUUCUUUCUAAAUAUGAAACCCUUAAUUUUAAACCGGGGCAGGGUAGUCGUCAGUUAGUUUGACCAUGCGUUCAAAUUCCAAAGAUAAAAAGAGGAGUGUCAUAUCUGAGGAUCGACCAUAUCUUAUCCCUCACAAGAGGUCGGAAACCCCCAAAUUCCAAAUGGUUGUCCCUCACCAACAAAGGAAUGAGGCAGUCAUAACCCUUCCCAAUCAAACGGCAAAAUGCCACAUGAAUUGUUUCAACAAAAGAAACAAGAAAAAAAAAAGCCCGCUAAUUCAAAAACUUGAAAAUGAGUGACUUAGGAAAAAGUUAGGGCACCCCUGUGGAUUGUAAAUCUGAACCAAUCCAGCAAAAAUAGGGAAAUGAAAAAAUGAAACAGAAUGAGGAAUCAAAAGAGGAUCCUCAACAAGAACAAAUUAGUGUGGCUAUAAACCAAAUAGAAGGUGCAUGAUUGCCACUCCAAAAAGAAAAAACCUCGUAGGUUCCUUUUCACUCCCAAAUCCCUUUUGGAAUAAGAGAGCUUGUAUCAAACUAGCUGAACGUAGGACUGGAGAACAUCAAGAAGAGUGGGUGGGUUAGGAUAGGUUUGAGUCUUACAUCCUUUCUUUCUGAAACCGUGAACCAUACCACUUUACAACCCUCAAAAGACCUAAUUGAAGCAAGGUUUAUUUCUAAAGCAUACCAUGGUUAGAAUAACCGUGUUAAAAUUGACUCCUUAAUGAUUUGUUCAUCAUUUAUGUUGAUAUUGAUAUGACAUUCUUAAUCAGUGAUGCAUUCAUUGUAUGUCAUAAUUCCAGUGAACACGCUUGGAUUUCAAAACUAGCAUAAACAUGACAUUGCUAUUAUCAUUUCCAAAAAUGAACAUGUGUUACUCAUGAGUGAGCAUCUGAUGUCAAGAGAGUUUUCAUAAUGAACGUGAAUUGGAAAGCUUGAUACCACCAAAAAAGAAGGAUGCCUAAAAGACUUUGUUAAGUAGAGGCAAAUUAUUUCAACUGAUUGAAUCAUAAGACAGAACACCUGAGAACCCCAUUCAGAAGAGACAGGUUACCUUGAUUCGAUCGUACUCAGAGAGAUAAACACCUAAGACGCUGUUGAGCAGCACCAAAUUAUUUUGAUUGAUGACAAUGAGUGUUGAAAGCCUGAGACUCCGUUGAUUAACAAUCGGUCACUUCUUUUGAUUAUAUCAAGGAGCAAAAUGUCCAAGGAACUCCGUUGAGCAGAAGGACAAGAUGUUUCAUAUUUCAAUCAAUCUGAGACAGUUACGUCAAGAAAUUUCAACAAGACUCAGUUAGUCUGAGAAAGUUAUGUCGAGAUUCAGUGAAUCUUUCCAAAGAUCAGAUAGUCAGGGGGUAAACUAUCCCAGUUGAUCGCAUCAGAAGACUAAACACCUAAGAACUCCGCCGAGCAGGGGAAAAUUGUUUUGAUUGAUCCUAUCAAGUGUUGAACGCCUGAGAUUCCACUGAGCAACGACCAGUCACGUCAUGUGAUUACAUCAAGAAGCAGAAUGUCUAAGAACUCUGUUAAGUAGAAAGAUAAGACACUUCAAUUUUCGGUCAAUCUGAAGCAAUCACGUCAAUAAAUCUCUAUAAGAUUCAGUUGAUCUAAGGAAGUUACGUUGAGAUUCAAAAAAUCUCUACAAGACAUUAGUUAAGGGCAUUCCCUCAGAGAUAUUCUAGCCAGGGGAAAAUUUAUUCCAAAACCUAUACUGGGGAAAGUUACCUCAGGAACCCAAGAAGUCAAUCUUCCGAGAUAGUUAAUCAAAGAUAUACAGUUCCAAGAAACUGGGGCAGGUCAGAUCGAGAUAGUUAUUAUGACAAAGCUGCUUUACAACUUAUUAUUGGGGCAAUACAUGCAGAUUCCCACUUGACUGGGGCAUGAAUGGCUAGAGAAGAAAGAUUCUUUAUAUACUUUUGAGGCUGUUCAGAGCAAGAUCUAUGGUGCAUAAGAGACUUCUAAGUUCGAGAUGAAUGUUGGGGAGUCACGCUAAACACAUCCCCUAACCUUUCAACAGAGAACCAUGAUCAUAAAUGAUAAACCCAAUGGUUAUUGGUACCCUGUGUUCUUAAUCUCCAGAUAUUUCCUACCAUACCGUCUAACCAAAAUCCUGACCAUGCAUCAACAUCUGGCAUAAGUAAUCAUGCAUUACAUAACAUUGCAUCAUAAAGCGCGUAGCAUAUUCCAUCAAGAUGGAGCAUUACCCCUUGCAAAAUAAACAUGCAUAUCUGCAUAAAAGUCCUUCUCGAAAGUGUAAAAGAAUCCUCUGAUAAGAUAUUCUUCCUCCCCAGUUGAGAACAUCGUCAUGAAACUUGGGAUUGGUAUUCCCCACAGGUUUCUCGAAGUCUCUCCUUUGCAAAUACCUUAGGAAUCUUCAAUCAGUCGUUUACCUUUCGUAAGUGAUCCCCUACCUUUUUCCUGGGAGGUCCUCUUUCCUUCUUUUAAUACUCUUUCGUAUUGAUUUGCAACACUCGUCCGUGUUAAUCAUCUCUUUUUCAAUACUCGUCCGUAUUGAUCUUCAACACUCGUUUGUGUUAAUCGUUUCAUUUUCGAUACUCAUCCGUAUUGAUCUCCAACACUCGUCCAUGUUGUUACAUUCCUUCAAUACCCGUUUGUAUUGAUCUUCAACACUCGUCCGUGUUAAUCAUUUCAUUUUCGAUACUCGUCUGUAUUGACCUCCAACACUCGUCUAUGUUGAUACCUUCUUUUUCAAUACUCGUCCGUAUUAAUCUUCAACACUCGUCCGCGUUAAUCAUUUAUUUUUCAAUACUCGUCCGUAUUAAUCUUCAACGCUCGUUCGUGUUGUUACUUUCUUUCAAUACUCAUCCGUAUUGGUUUGCAACACUCGUCUGUGUUAAUCAUCUCAUUUUCAAUACUCGUCCGUAUUGAUCUUCAACACUCGUAUGUGUUAAUCAUCUCAUUUUUAAUACUCGUCCGUAUUGAUCUCCAACACUCGUCCAUGUUGUUACCUUCUUUCAAUACUCAUCUGUAUUGACUUGUAACACUCGUCCGUGUUAAUCAUCUCUAUUUCAAUAGUCUUCCGUAUUGAUCGUCAACACUCAUUCGUGUUAAUCAUUCCUUCUUUCAAUACUCGUUCGUAUUGACCCUUAACACUCAUCCGUGUUAAUCAUUACUUCUUCCAAUACCCGUCCGUAUUGAUUUUAAUACUCGUUCGUAUUGAUUUUUAAUACUCGUCCGUAUUGAUUUGCAAUACUCGUCCGUAUUGAGCAUCCACACUCGUCCGUGUUGGUCCUUUGUCAAUACUCGUCAGUAUUGACCUCUAACACCCGUCCGUGUUGAUCUCUUUUACUCGUUUGUAUUGACCUCCAACACCCGUCCGUGUUAAUCAUUUCUUUUUCAAUACUCGUCCAUAUUGAUCUUCGACACUCGUCCAUGUUAAUCAUUUCUUUUUCAAUACUCGUCUGUAUUGGUCUUCAACACUCGUCCGUGUUGUUAAUCAUUUCUUUUUCAAUACUCGUCUGUAUUGAUCUUUGACACUCGUCCGUGUUAAUCAUUUCUUUUUCAAUACUUGUUUGUAUUGAUCUUCAACACUCGUCCGUGUUGUUACCUUUCUUUUUCAAUACUCGUCCGUAUCGAUCUUCGACACUCGUCCGUGUUAAUCAUUUCUUUUUCAAUACUCGUCUGUAUUGAUCUUUAACACUCGUCAGUGUUAAUACCUUCUUUUUCAAUACCUGUCCGUAUUGAUCUUCAACACUCGUCCGUGUUAAUCAUUUAUUUUUCAAUACCCGCCCAUAUUGAUCUUCAACACUCGUCCGUGUUAAUCAUUUCUUUUUCAAUACUCGUUCGUAUUGAUCUGCAACACUCGUCCGUGUUAAUCCUUCCAUUUUCAAUGCUCGUCCAUAUUGAUAUUCGAAACUCGUCCGUGUUAAUCUUUUCUUUUUUGAUACUCAUGCGUAUUGAUGUUCAACGCUCGUUCGUGUUGUUACCUUUUCCUUCGAUACUCGUUCGUGUUGAUCUUCAACAUUCGUCCGUGUUGUCACCUUUCAAUACUCGUCCGUAUUGAUCUCUAACACUCGUCCUUGUUAAUCAUUUCAUUUUCAAUACUUGUCCAUAUUGAUCUCCAACACUCGUCCGUGUUGUUACCUUUUUCCAAUACUCGUCCGUAUUGAUCUGCAACACUCAUCCGUGUUGGCCCUUCCUUUCUGACAUUCACCCGUGUUGAUACCUCAUUUUGAUACUCGUCCGUAUUGGAUUGAUUCACUCGUCCGUGUUAAUCCUCUUUGCAAUACUCGUCCGCAUUGACCUCAACGCUCGUCCGUGUUACUAAACCCCACUUGGUAUUCGUUUGUAGCGGCAUCCAUCAGUCGUAUGUGUGGACCUUACCCUCUUUCUUAACCUUUUGUUCAAAAGACCUCUUUUCCAAUACAGAGGAGCCGCUGCUACCUAUUGUGCGAGAAAAUCGUAUAUCCCCAGCCAACACUUUAUUUGCCUCUGUGAAAUCCUGUGGGAAUACCUCGAUCACCUGUUACAUGCCAAAACAUGACAGGGGAGGCAAGAAAAGAAUGAAAAAGAGAUGAAAACAGAAAAUGAAAAAAGAAAGAAUAAGAAAAAAGAAGAAGCUAAGAGAAAGACGAAAAAAAUAAUCAAUCAUCAAUCAUGCUGCAUUAGCAUAUUGCAUACGUCAUGCAUAUCUAACCUCUCAUUACCCAUCUACCACAUGACAUUCCAAUUCCCAUCAGCUUCCCUGCACAAAGACCUACUUGUUCAUCCCAAAUCCCAGUGAAGGAGUUCUUUGUGACCUAUCUUCACACUUCAUUUGUUCCUGGCGGGAAAAUUUCCUUAUAUUCUAGUAUUUAAUACUCUCAUACCUUCAUUGUCCAAACACCGUUGUUAUCCGUACAUUCAGGUUCGAGAAGAUUAAAUAGGGGCAGCUGUCAUACCCCAAAAUUUGCCUUACCCUUCACAAAGUUCAUUUAGGUCACUAACCCUAGUCAUAUGCAUGUCUUUAUAUCAUUCAUUUCAUCUGCAUAGCCAUUUGUAUGAUACAAAAGGGCAGGUAUCUUAGAUUCUGAGCUUUGUGCUUACACUUGGUGGAAGCUAAGUCUCCUAUACGGAUGAAGGGGGCUUAAUCGAUCAAACCCUAAUCGGAGGUGGCUCUUGAGGUUUAGGUGUAUUCCUAUCAUUGGUAACUCAACUUUGGCUAAGUGGUGAAGCAAAACCCUAAUCUUGGGAUCCUCACUUGAUCAUGGUUUCCACGAACUCUAAUGGUAUACAACGCUCUAUAGAUGGUCUCCAAAACCCUAUCUAUUGGGUCUUUCAUCAUUCCAUUGAGUGUGCCUUUCUCAACAACCUCCUGGUCAGGAGUCGUGCAUGUUGGUUUCUUGGGUUUGAUUCCAUAUAUCACUUGUUUCAAUGUGCAUCUCGUGCUUGUCCGUACCCGGUCAUCCGAUCAUUUGGUCAUUGAACAUUUAAUUUGUAUUCCUUUGUUUCAUUUGGGGUCUUAGUUGAUAUUUAAUUCAUAGGUUGUGUAUGGAUUUUAUCCCGUUAUAUGUCUCGAUUCAUUCCAUUUCAAGUAACCUAGUCAUUUCUUAAGUCAAUUUGCUCAACUAGCCAAUUUCAUUCAUGUUCGUCCAUAAAGAUAGUCAUUACAUUCAAAAAAGGUGCAAAACGAUGUAUAACGUAUUGCAAAACCCAUUUUUGGAAGUUUUCGUUCUGUGAGUCGACACAACACCCACGAGUACGAACAGGUCGACCCACAGAUCGACCUAGUCCUGGGGAAUUUGUAUGCGUUGACUCAUCCAGGCUUUGCAUUGACUCAUUCCUCAUUCUUCUAUAAACCAAUUCACCGCGGGUCCGAGCAGGUCGACUCAUUUCUGGGGAAUCUGGUGUGCAUCGACUCAUCCACCCUUUGCAUCGACUCACUUAUCAUUCUUCUGUGAACCAAUUCGUCGUUGGUCCGAACAGGUCGACCUGGAGCUCGACUCAUCCUGGAGAAUGCUCUAUUUAAGUCGACUCAUCCCCUAUUUGAGUCGACUCAACCUGUUUCUUGCUGCUGAAAUACUGCAAAAUGCAAAUUCUUGCCAUGCCCGCACAAUCACAUUGAUUCACACUCUGCAUUAACUCACAAUUGUGAGUUACUCCAAUAAAUAGCAGGUCAUUAGCCAACAUUAAAGCUUAAUUUCAUUCAAGUUAACCUGCAAUAACCAGUCAUAGAAACCAUUUGAACACAUUCCCCAAAACCAACCAACUAACUUCCAACUUAGUGAGUUAACCGACAAAACUCAUUGAGUUCAUCCCAACUAACUCCCAACCUCUUUUAACUAACUCCAAGCCUUAGGGAUCCCAAGCCUAAUCCCUAUAAAUUCCCAUCUUCACCAUCAUUUGAAGGUCUCUCCACUAUUCACUUCAACUUUCACUACUUUCACAUUUUCUGCAAACAUCACCUUCAACCUUUCUCACUUCAUCUUCCCUAUUUCUUCACCCUACACCAAAGCUCAAACUACCAUUGGAGCAAGCUUCACAUUGAAGCUUGUUAUCAAUUGAGGUAAAACUCUUGUACUCAACAAUCACCCCUGCACUCACCGACUCAACAUCGAUAAUAACGAUCCGGUUCAGAAUUUUUUUGGAGUUGAUUCUUGAAGGAUAAGAGUUCACAGUAGAAGCGGGAGAUCCAAGGUUCAACGUAGCAUACAUCUGUUUUUCUCCUCUUCAUCUUCAUCACUCCCGAAUUUCAACAAGUCCCAAGACAAUCCUCCGUCUUGCAGGUUGGUGAAUCUUUAUCUCUGUCUAACCGUUGAUAUCACCAUGUAGCUUGCAUAGGGGAGAAUCAAAACCCCAAGGUUCGGUGGUUUGAUUCUUCGUCACCUCCAUCUUCAUUAGCUCUAAGAUUUUUUUGCUUAGGAUUCUUGAUGUUAACUGCUUAAUUUCCUGAAUUUGUUGAGCUGUAAUUAAGAUAAAGAUUAGGAUAUGAGAGUUGGAGAUAAGUAAGAAUUUGGAGCCUUUUUCCUUGAAUCCGGCCAACUCCGCCGCCUCUGGCGCGGUGGUGCCGGAACUCCGGUGGUGGUUCUGUUUUACCUUUAUGUUGGGAUUGUUUGACUGGUCCAAGGAGUGUUCACUUCAUACCAUUCAUUGCCAUGUGUAACAUUAACAUGCAUGUUGAUAAAAAAAAUCGUAUUCAUUAUUGGUGGUGAAUUCUUGCUAACUGUGUUGUUUAAGCCUUAGGCUAAGCUACUGUUCAUCUUGAUCACGAUAGCCUCGUAAUUGAUUAGUCGAUUCUAAUUCCAAUUCUAUUCUCGUAAUUGUGUAUGAAAUAGUUUUUAAUUCCUGUUUUUGGGAUUUUGGAGUCACAUAAUUGUAGAGGUAAAUAGCUUAAUUCAUGUUCAAUUAAAUAUUAAGAUUAGGUAAUUAGUUAGGAAUUAGGCUUAAUCAUGUGCAUGUUAGACUAAUUUCUUAAUUUUUCCAAAUAUUGUUUUCACAUGAUCAACCAUUAUAGGCUUAGAAUUUCAUUUGGUUUACGAUGCUAAUUUCCAUGUACAUGAGUAAUCUCACUUUGACUAGAUUACGUUUCAUUUGUGGUUAAGGGCUGAACUGAAAAAUCCAUUUCAUUUUAAGUUCAUAUAGGUUUGUUCAUCAUGAUCAUCAUAUCACACCAUGCUAUUAUCAUACCCUCCCAUUCAUUUGAAUCGGAAUUUUAAUUCCUUCUUAUUUGAUGCAUACUAACCGGUGUUGUUUUGUGGCGACAUGCGAAUAAGAGAUCUCAACACUAUCCAAGUCCCUUUUAUUUUUAUUCGUUAGUUUGUAGUAUGCGAAGUGUCAUGCAACUUGUAUGGUUUAGGCAUGGCACAUGAGUUGUAAAUUGUAUUUUCCUUUCAUGCCUUCAUGUUGUAUUAUGUGGAUCCAUCCCCCCAUUAUGGGUUAAAUGUCCCUCUCCCCCUAGUCAUGUAAUAUCUUAGAUUUACUGCUUUCUAGUUACUUCACCAGGCAUGUUAAUAACCAAGAUAAAAUACAAAACGAUAAACAAAGCAUUUUCGAAAGAAACAAAAGGUACUUGAUUCAACGUCAAGUUUUUUUUUCCGAAUAAAACUCACACCAUUGCAACGCAAACACUCGAUUUGACGCCAAGUAUUCCCCACCCUUUCUUUCCCAUCUUAUCUCCUCAAUCGACCACUAUUUCAAAAUCAAUAAGCAAACCCUUGAUCCAACGUCAAACGGUCCUUUUUCAAAUCAAAUUCAAAAACACAAUAAAUACGAUUAGGAUUGUAUGCCACGAGCCUUAAGUGGUAAAGAAGAGAUGAGAAUGGAACUUUCCUACACUCGUUCUAAAUAGUUCGAACACAAGACGUUUGGCUUGGUAGUUUGAGGUAUUCACCUUUAUCCAUAGUCUUUAGUUCAAUCCGAAAUCAAUAACACUUUCGCAAAACAUAAACACAAUCCAACGCAUUCAAACCUUUUGUUUGAGCCUUAGGGCGACAGAAUCGAAAACCCUUCUUCAAGGUAAUAAAAAUCAACCAACCAAACAAACAUUUUAAACCCACGAACUACGGGGCUCUGAUUUCUCACUUCAACAAGUGGGCAUGCGUAGGCACAAGGAUCCAAAUCCUUGGAGAGCACACAUUUAAAAUCUACCUCCACUCCGCAAACCUUUGGUAAGCAAAGAUUCGAUAAACAACAUCUACGUAAGCGUAAACAUUCAAUAAACAACAUCCAUGUAAGCGCAAACACCCUAGAUGGUUCCUAUGGAGUACCAUAGAUGUAAGGGGUGCUAAUACCUUCCCCUUGCAUAACCGACUUCCAAACUUGUUCGUGGUUGCGAUGACCAUUCUUUGGGGUUUUCUCGAUAUUUUCCCUUUCCUUUGGAAUAAAUAAAAACCGAUGGCGACUCUGUAUUUUUCGCGUAGCGACAAGGGUCAAAUCAGAUAACCACUUCUUUACAAGAUGACCAAGUAAAUGAAGUGGCACAAACUCAGAAGAUGGGAUGGUCAACAAGGGCUAAAACUCAAUCAAUUAGGUUAAUUGACUAUGAAUGAUUUUGUGACCAAACCAUAAAUGAAAAUGGUAACGUGAUUGAAGAAGUAAUGAUAACUGAAUGUGAGCCAAUUAACCUCAAUCAAGACCUGAAAGACAAAAAUUGGCAAGAAGUUAAGAAGGAAGAAGUCAAGGAAAUUUUGGAGUUGGUAAACAACUCAAGCAAGAGAACCAUAGAUGUAAAAUGGGUCCAUAAGCUGAAGCUCAUACCAAAUGGUGAGAUAGCCAAGUAUAAGGUAAGGCUAGUAGCAAAGAGGUUUCUUCAAAGGUCAGGAAUUGAUUUUAGUGAGGUCUAUGCACCAUUUUCCAGACUUGAAACUAUAAAAGUUGUGGUGGCCAUUGCAACAUCCAAAAGGUGUAAGAUACAUCAAUUGGAUGUAAAGUCAUCUUUUCUAAAUGGGCCAUUAGAGAAUGGUGUAUAUAUAAAACAACCAAUUGGUUUGAGAUCAAAGGAAAAUAAGAAAAAUUGUAUAUGAUGAUAAAAGUACUAUAUGAAGUGAUAACUUUUACAUGAAUUUAGGAUUCAACAAAUGCACAUUAGAACCUGGAAUAUAUGCGAAAGGCUCAAGUGAAUAAGAUCAAAUAAUUCUAUGCAUAUAUGUGGAUGAUAUCUUGAUAAAAUUAUCAAAUUAAAUUGAAGUUUCAAAGUUCAAGACUAACAUGGAGAAUGAAUUUGAGAUGUCAUAACUAGGAAACAUGGCUUAUUUUCUAGGUAUGGAGUUUGUAAACAUAAAAUAUUGAUUUUUCUUGUACCUAAAGAAAUAUGUAGAAGAUAUCUUGGAGAAAUUCAACAUGAACAAUUCUAACCCUGCAAUUAGUCUUAUGGAAGAGGCUCUUUGGUUUCUCAUCAAAAUAUUUAAGUUAUAUCUUCCUUUGGUUAACUUUGCAAGUGUUUUUAGAAGAUCACAAGUUUCAUUUUUUAAGGUAUUACAUUCAUUUCACAUGUCAGAUUCAUUUUUUUUUAUAAAAGUGGAAGAGUUUUGGACUUGAUCAUUUUGUAUUUCUCUAAGAUUUUCUAUUUAUUUUUCAAGGAUUUUAAUUUUAGAUUCAAGAGAAGAAAUAAUAUCCUAGGAUAUAGAGACAAUUUCUUCCAAUUUACUUGUUUCUUUUGUUAUCUUCUUACAAAUGUGGAAAAAAGUUGAUAAGAAAAGUAAGAGGUUAUCUUAUCAUCUUGAUGAUUUUCCAUGAGACAAAUGUUGGCUUCUUCUUCGUCAUCUGAAGAUUCCAUAUCUUUAUCCUUCCAUGCAAUGUAAGGUUUCUUGCCCUUCUUAUAAGUUUCUUAUAUUUCUUCUGAUUUUGAUUUUCCUUUUAAGAAAACAUAAAGUUUGAUCUGGUGUAUCCUUUAUUUUCACAUAGGUAACAUGUGGGAUCGAAUGAAGCUUUAUCCUCAUCUUUUUCCUGUUUCUCUUUUUGUUAUUUCUCAUGCCCUAUGCAGGACCGACCCAAUCAUAUCGGAGGCCCCGUUCUAAUUAAAAAAAUGGGCUCAAUUUUUUUUAAAAAUAUAAUUAUAAUAAUUAAAAAAAUAUAUAUCAAAAAUACAAUUAUGUAUUAAUUAAAAAUAAAUUUAAUUAUAAUUAUUUUGAGUUCUGAUCAAUCUUGAUUUUUAUAUGUAUUGAGUUUUUAUCAUAAUAUUUCUUUCAAUUAUUGAGUUUUUUUAAUAACAUUUUAUUUAUUUUUAUUAAUAUUUAUAAAAAAAAUGAAAAUUUUAAAAGUUGGGGCCCUCUAAUAUUUGGGGCCCUGUGUUGCAGCACAUGCUACACUUGCACAGGGCCGGCCCUGGCCUUAUGAGUCUUUUAAAGUUUUCGACUAUAAGGGACAUGUCACCAUGAGAGUCAGAAUCUUCCACUUUGAGCACUAGGCUAUUGUUUUCUUUUCUCCUUCCUCAUAUAUGAAUGGACUAUUUAGUUCAAUCUCGAGUUCCUUCAAUUGACGAAAAAAAAGGUGUGUGUGUUCAUAAUUGCUAAAUCCCUAGAUUCACAAAUCAUAACGAAUUUAGGUUGCCAACUAUUGUUUAAGUACCUAAACAAUUUCACAACUAAUUCCUCAUUUGAAAAUAUUUUUUAUAGAGUUCUCAAAUGACUCAGGAUAUGCAUAAACCGUGUUUGCAUCUUAUUAAUGUUUUGUUCAUGUUUUAUCAUUAAAAGUUCAUACUCCUAAAUUAAUAUGCCAAACCUUGUCCACUUUAACUAAAUAGUCCCUUCGUGGUUACUUUAGAGGAUGUUCACAUUUUUUUUAGUCUUGCAGUGAGAAACUUACAAAAAUUCAUCAAGACCAAGAGUGGUAGUGAUGACAAUUUUUGUUUUCAAAAUGCGCUGCACAUUUUCUUUAUCAUCUUUGGUCCAAUCCUUUUUUCAAGUUUGUUCACUACAACACUAUCAACAUCGUGUGUAUGAACACUACCACAAUCCAUCCCUUUUAUCCCCCUAUCCUAAAAAAAUAGUUUUCAUAAGCUGAACACAAAAAUUGAGUGGAUAUUUUAUAUAACUUUUCCAAUCUGAGUUUUAUAACCGAGCAAUAGUGGCACAACACUAAUAUAACUCUUUCCUCACAAGAAAAUUUCAUUCAUAAGGCACUAAGGAAACUUCGGUGAAAAAGAAUAUAUAUAUAUAUAUAUAGAGAGAGAGAGAGAGAGAGAGAGAGAGAGAAGAGAAGAGAUAAAUUAUAGAAAAUUAGGAAAAUCCCAAAUUCUAGUGUGAAAUUAAGUGAGGAGAAACCUCCUUUAUAUAGGAAAAAAAUUGGAUUUAUAUGGAAAUAAUCCAUGUGCCUUUUAAAUGACCUAAUCAAUUAGAUAUUUGAAAUAAUAGAUCAAUUUAUGCUGAAAAAAGAAAGUUUUAAUAUAUAGUCAUUACUAAUUAUAUUUUCCAAAAAAUUACAGGGUGUGCGUGGUCCCCCUGCAAGGACAUGGAGAAUUUGAGGCCCUAAUAGGUAUAAUAUAGUUUUGAGGGGCGAGGGCUAGCUCACGAAGGUGACUAGCCUUGUACCAUGGUUUUUGAGGUUGUUUGAAGGACCAAAUCACAUGAGGUGAAAUGUCGUGUUGGUUGUCGACACUGUUGGGUGCAGGCGGGUGGUUGAAUUGACGAUGUUAGGACUACUCGGAGCGUAGCACCGUCCAAGCAAUAAUGGAUAUGUAUGCCUUGAUCUUCUCUAUCCCCUUGAGGGAUAGUGUAUUUAUAGGGUCCUCGAUAUCUAGGGUGUUUGCAUCCUGAACAUGGUCUUAACUGCUCCUCGCUUACUAGGAAGUUAUUGACUGCCGAUAUUCUUGAAGUCAGUGAGGAAUCUCUCUCAUGUGUCCCCUAUGUAUGUUGGACCUCCUAAGAGAAUCCCUUAAAUUCCUUUUGGGUGGUCCAUCUGCUGGGCGAGAUCGUCCUAGUAUAUGACUUCAUAAAUAUAACAUUACACAGUCUCUUAAGCACAAGGGAUUUUCGUUAAAGGGAGAAGUGUUUAAUAUUUGAGAUGGGUAAUAAUAUAUUUUUACUCUUUUGUUUAUUAUUUGUGAUUAUUAAUAUAGUUAUUAAGAUGAAAUUUUCAGAUGAGUAAUUCAGAGAGGAAUUACAAUGUUGGCCUCAUAUUGGCGAAAUUAUGAUUUAGAGAGAAAUCUUGAGUAUGAGUUUUGAGUAUAUUUUCUGUUGUUUUGAGUUUAUUGAAUUCUGUUGUCAUGUUCAUGCAUACAUGUAUAUUGGAGUUAGGUAAGACUUAGGUCCGGUGAGGUCAGGAUCAGAGAGGAACCAUGACAAUCUCAAAUUCAUAGAGGAACACGAUUCAAAGAGGAACCAAAGACAUGGAUAAAUUAGUAACACACCUAUGAUACCAUAUUGGAGGAGAAGUAUACUGCAUUAUGCAUUUUUAUUAUAGUUAUUGUUGUUGUUGUGAACUUUAUGUGGGAAUGAUGAUAGAUGUUGUUAUGACUAACUUGCUAUUUAAUUUUAUUGUUAACAUCUGUAAAGUUAUUCUCACCCCAUUUUAUUUAUUUGUGGUGUUUUGUACUCUCUUGGGGUACAAAUAAUCAGGUAAAGUAGUAACUGCUUUAAGCUGGAGGAUGGCGUGAAGGCCUCUUCGUUUACUUGUUGUUUUCUAAUUCUUUUGUUUAGUACCUUUUGUCGCUCUGAUAAUGUAACAUAUGGGGUAUGGCCGUUGUUUCCUUUUAUUUUUCUAAUUAUUGAGUUGAGAUCAAACUGAUAUUUUAUUUGAGUAAUUUUUUUUGAGAUCAUGAGAAGGUAUUGUUAUAUGUUUUAUAAUUCUGCUGCAAUAUGUUUAAAUGGAUGAAAGAUGUUUUAUUUUAAGAAUACGUGACACCCUUUGGUGACAAAUACUCUAAUUUAUUUUAUAAAUUACGCGCCAGGUUUAGGGUGUUACAAAAGGGGUCUUGUUGAACUGGGGAAACAUAAUCUGUUGGGUGGUGACAAAGUCCAAAAGCUUGAAUUUUGUGAACCUUGUGUGUUUGAUAAAUCCUGCAGAGUGAAGUUUAACAAAGGAAAACAAAGAACACAUGAAUCCCUUUGUUACAUUCAUGCGGAUCUUUGGGGUCUAGAAGGAGUCUUUCACACUCAGGUGCAAAGUAUUUUCUAUCCAUAGUUGAUGAUUAUUCCAGAAAGUUAUGGGUAUUCAUUCAGAAGACUAAGGAUGAAAAUUUUGAAAAUUUCAAAAGUUGAAAGACUCUGGUCAAAAAUUAGAUUGGCAAGAAGGUCAAGUGGUUGCGAACCUAUAAUGGCCUUGAGUUAUGCAAUAAAGCUUUCGAUAGUUACUGUAGUAUGUAUACUAUUGCAAGGCACAAGACUACUGCGGGUACUCCUCGGUAAAAUGGCUUGGCUGAGAGAUUCAAUCGAACAAUCCUAGACAGGGUUAGAUGCAUGUUGGUUAGUGUAAGAUUGAAGAAGGUGUUUUGCGCUGAGUCUGCAGUGACUACAACAUACCUGAUAAAUAGGAGCCCCUCGAUUGCCUUGGGAAUGAAGACACCUAAAGAAGACUGGUCGAGACUUCUACCUAAUCUCGACAGACUUAGAGUAUUUGGCUAUUUAGAAUAUGCUCACAUUAGGCAAGACAAGGUUAAACCUAGAGCUAUGAGAUGUAUGUUUCUUGAAUACCCUGAAGAAGUCAAAUCUUAUAGGUUGUGGUGCAUAAAGUUAAGUAACAAGAGAUGCAUCACAAGUCGAGAUGUAGUUUUCAGUGAAUCAGAAAUGGCGUUCAACAAAACUGAUGAUUUUGGUCGAAAUACGAAGAUCUUUGUACAUGAGUUGGAACAUGAAGAGAUUCUUAUUGAGGUAGAGCGUAUUGAUGCUGAAUUGCACAACUCAAAUGAAGUUGAAUAAGAAGCAUAAGUUGCUGAUGAAGAUAAGGAGAAUGAUAAUUACUAUCUGAUGGUAAGAGACAGGUCUACUAGAGUCAUCAAGCCACCUCAGAGACUUGAUUAUGCAUAUCUCAUAACUUUUGCCUUAAUCUAUGCAAGUGAGGUUCUUGAUGAAGAACCUAGAUACUACAAGGAAGCUAUAAGGAGUCAAAACAAGACUAAAUGGAUGAAAUCCAUGGAUAAUGAUAUGAAAUCUCUUCAUGAUAACCAUACUUAGGAGCUGAUCGAGAAACCUGCUGGAGCCAGGUUAGUCAGUUUUAAGUGGAUUUUCAAGGUUAAGAAAGGAAUUGAAAGAGUGAUGUUGAAGAGAUUUAAGGAAAGGUUGGUUGCUAGGGGGUUCACUCGGAAAGAAGGAGUCGAAUUCAAUAAUGUGUUCUCUCCUGUUGUAAAGCAUAUAUCCAUUAGAAUGUUGUUACCCAUGGUGGAAAAGUUUGACCUAGAACUUGAACAAAUGGAUGUGAAGACCUCCUUAUUGUAUAGUGAUUUAGAUGAAACAAUCCUGAUGAGGCAAACUGAAGGGUUUGCAGAAAAAGGAAAUGAAGAUUAUGUGUGCAACCUGAAUAGGUCUUUAUACGGCCUGAAACAAUCUCCUCAUCAAUGGAAUAGGAGAUUCGACAAGUUCAUGACACACAUAGCUUUCACUAGGAGCUAGUUAGACCAUUGUGUUUACUUCAAAUUUUGAUCUGGAAACCCAUUUAUUACUUUGUUUCUUUAUGUGGAUGACAUCCUCAUACAAAAAAACCAUGGAGAGGAUGUUAUGAAGGUGAAGGCUGAAAUCGAUAAGGAGUUUGACAUGAAGGAUAUGGGAGUUACCACCAGGAUUCUUGGGAUUGGCAUUCGAAGAGAUACAAAAUAGUCGAGAUUAUGCUUAUCUCAAGAGACAUACUUGAAGAAGAUUCUCGAUAAAUUUGGUAUGUCGAAUUCAAAUCCUAUUGUAACACCGACAAAUCCUCAAUUCAAGCUGAGUACGACUCAAAGUCCUAGUAUUGAGGUUGAAAGAGUCUAUAUGAAUAACACUCCAUAUCCUAGUAUUGUAGGUUCUUUGAUGUGUGUUAUGGUUUGUACGAGAACAGGCAUAACGAAUGGAGUGAGCCUUGUAAGCGGGUAUAUGAUCAAUCCUGGGAAGGCACACUAGAAAGCUUUAAAGUGGAUUCUAAGAUACAUAAAAGGAUCCCUGAGUAGGGUCUUGAUUUAUGAUGGAGCCAUGAGUGAUGGUGAAGCCGAAGUCAGAGGACUUGUUGACUCUGACUAUGCAGGAUGUAUGGAUACCAAAAAGUCUCUUUCUGGAUAUGUUUUCACUAUGUUUGGUACAACAAUCAGUUGGAAAGUUUCUCUUCAGAAGUUCGUUGCCUUAUCAACCAUUGAAGCUAAAUAUAUUGCCAUCAUUAAAGUUAUGAAAGAAGCAUUAUGACUUGAAAGGAUUGUUAAGGAACCAGAACUUCAAGGUCAAGCUAUCACUGUUAAAUAUGAUAGUCAAAGUGUCAUACAUAUGUCGAAGAAUUCAGCCUAUCAUGAGAGAAGAAAGAACAUUGAUGUUAGGUUGCAUUUCGCCAGGGAGAAAAUUGAAAGUGGAGAAGUCAAAGUGAUGAAGGUUUCAAUAGAUCAUAAUGAUGCAUAUAUGAUCACCAAGUCAUUUCCAAGUAGCAAGGUAUUUCACUGUAUGUAGUUGUUAAAGCUGCAUGAUGAAAUCUAGUUUGUUCCCUUAAUGUUGUAAAGUUUGUUCUAAGAUGGGGAUUUGUAGUAUUUUGGAUCGAACUCUAGUCUCGAUAGGGAUAACUUCAUGUUUUGACAGGAGUUAUGCAUGCUGUAGUCGAAGUCUGUUCAAGCAUGCAGAAGUCGAAGAUGUGCAUGUUGUAGUCGAAGCUUGUUCUAGCAUGUAGUUGUAUAAGUUAGCUUGCUAGUUAAUCUAUCUUAGUGCUUAAGUAGCUUGUUGGUUAAGCUAGCCUGUAGUCUAUAAAUAGAAUGCUCCCUCAGAUUGUUGAGAGAGGGUUAAGUUUGAUUGAUAUUUGCUUGUAAAAAAAUUGUGAAAAUAAAUAGUAAAACGGUUUUAACUAAUUCUUAUUCUUGUUCUUCUCUCUUCUCUCUCUAUCGUAAAUCGAAAAAGGAUUUCUUGUGUUUGUUUAAGAAAUUCAAUAUUUCUCAUAAUUGUAUUCGUUACUAGUGCAGUAUUUGUUACAACAACAACAACAACAAUAAUAAUAAUAAUAAUAAUAAUAAUAAUAAUUAUUAUUAUUAUUAUUAAUAAAAAUACUCCUUUCUAUCUUAGAAAAAUUGUAUUCGUUACUAGUGCAGUAUUUGUUACAACAACAACAACAACAAUAAUAAUAAUAAUAAUAAUAAUAAUAAUAAUUAUUAUUAUUAUUAUUAAUAAAAAUACUCCUUUCUAUCUUAGAAGGUUGAAAAUAUAGUUUUAAAAUAUUAAAUUUUAAUGAUUAGCAAUUUUUUUAUAUUACCAUUUUAAUAAACAUAUUAAAGAAAAAAAAUACAACACAUUAAUCUGCUUAAAGGAUACAAAUAUUUUAUUGUUUCCAACACAACCUUCUCUUUAUCUACAAUAAAUGAGUCAAAUAAUAUUCUAUUAUUAUAUGUAAAGAGAAAAAAAUAUGACUAAAACUCUCAAGUUUGUGUAUGUCAUGAUUUUAUUUUUAUUUUUAGUUGCAAGGAAUGAUGGAGCCGGUAAUUUAUUUUCUCAUCAUUUUCAAUUUUUCUUCUAUAAACUUUAUCUUUUAUAUUAUGUUAGUAACAUUAUUUUACCAUUUUUUUUUCAUUACAGAAUCACGACUAAUUAUUUGUAAAACAGAUGUCGAUUGUCUAGAUAGAUCCGAGUUUCACAAGUAUAUAUGCAUUAGAAAAAGAUGUAGAAUUUUUUUAGUGCCAUUCUAGGAUAAAAUAAACUUAACAAAAAAAAACUUCUAAUUAAAUUAAAAUUUCUAUACUAAAAUCAAUCAACAAGAUUAUCAAGAAUAUCAAGAGUACGCAAUAUCUGAAACAUUUUUUUUCAUAUGAAAUAUGCAUAUGUGUUGCGAAAGAAGGAGCAUCAGAAAUAUCAAGAAUUAAAUCUUAUAUUUAUUACUAGAAGAAUGUCUUUUCUUUGAAGAAUACUUGACCAUCUAUUGUCAAAAUGAUUAAUGAGAUAAAAUACUUGUUUUUCUUUGGAUUCUAUGAUGAAUGAUUCUUUCAUAUAAGUUUAUUUGCGAAGGUCAACUUGUGGGAAUUCUAACUAUUUGGUUUGUACAUUAGUGUUAUUGUUAGUCCAUUUGCAUUUAAAUAAAGAAACAUUGAAUACAACAUAAUCAAUCUUCUAAAUCUCCUCAAUAAUCCUAAAGUACGUUCUGGAUACAACAUAAUCAAUCUUCUAAAUCUCCUCAAUAAUCCUAAAGUACGUUCUGGAUGCCAUAAAAAAUUAUUUUCCUUUGAAUUAGAGAAGUACAUGAACUCUAUCUCAACCAUAACCCCACUAUUUUGCACUAUAUUACAAUUAUCCUUUGAUUUUGUAUAAAAAGAUAUGGCAACCCAAAAAGAAAAUUGUAAAUAUAAAAAAUUUAAAGAAAAACAACACAUUGUGGUGUUUCGUUUUCAAUUUUUUAUCAUUCAUUAUUUUUUUAUAAUAUAAGCCAUUUGUUGCCAGGGUUGCUAAAACUCAUCGAGGGAAAAAAUAGCUUAAAAAUAAAUAAAAAAUAAAACUAAUGAUGUUAUAAUUUGAAGUGUGUCCGUGAGAGACAUUUCCUCGUGGUUGUUAAAGAUGAUUGAAAAAAAAUUGAAUUAAAAAAAAACGUCACUUUUAUAAUGAAUAAAACAAAAAAUUGAUGGUGUUGCGAAUUGAAAUGUAUCCCUGAAAAAAUCUAUGAUUGAUUAAAUUGAUUGAGGGUGAAAGAGACUUAAAAAUUAAUAUCAAAGAGUAUCGCCUAAAGAUUUUUCUUUUAUUUCAAUGCAUUAAUUGAUCCAAAAAGUUCGUCAAAAAAAUGUAUAAUUCAUUAUUGUGAAUAAAAUCCCCCCUUAUCUUAUAAAAUAUCAAGAAGUAUGAAAUUUAAAAUAUCAAGAAAUCUCAAAAACAUCUAUAGAAAUAAUUUUUUUUGGAAGUGCACACAUUUUUCGAAUACAAUCAUCCCAAAUGCAAUUGGAUAAAGUGCUUCAUCAAACAAAACUAAUAUUAUGAAAAGAUGCAUUAACAAGACCAUCCGAACAAAAAUUCCCUUUUCAAAAGAUAUGUGACACUUUAAAACAAAAACUUAUAAUUAGAUUGAGAUAGCUGGAUCAACAAUUUUGAAGGAUCCAAAGCAUAUUUUUAGGAUUAGAAAAAACUUGAAACACUAACUGAAAAUAACUUUUAUGUCAUAAUUUAAGCUAAUCGUUAGCAUAAACUAUUUCUACCGCUAACAUGACAAUAAUCAGUUAUGCAUUGCAUUUUCAAAAUUAUUGAUACCAAGUGGUCGAGAAAAAGCAUCUAAAAAUACUUUUAACUUGUUCAAGACCCCUCAUUAAGCAUUGUAUUUGAUGACAUGAUUGGCGACUAAUUCCCAUUAAAAUAAUAGUUUUAAUCAACUACAACAACAAUCCUUAGUUUUUCUUUUAGUCAAGCAUGCGAAUUUCUAAACUGUACUUCAUUUUGGAUUUUCUCAAAAUCUUAAAUUUUUUUUUCCUCCCAUAAUCUUAAUUUCUCUUUUCUUCUCCAAUUUAUUUUUCUUUUCUUUUUGCAAUCAAGGUGUGGUUGAUUCACAGUUUUUCAUAAGUUUGAUGAACUUUCAACAUCAAAAAUUUGACAAAAUUCCAACAAUUGUCCUGCCCUUAAGAAUACUUUCCUUGUACUGCAAGACGCACUCCUUAAUGUCUUUAUCCAGGUUCUUCUGGGCAUGAUGUAGUCAUCAUCAAAAUACUUUUGUGAUGCAAUACCAUAAAACAUGGCACACAAUGACCCAAGUUUCUUGCCACAAACUCUCCUCCUACUAGUUAUUGUUAAAGUUACUGACUACUACAAAUAACAUAUGUAAUGUCGAAAAUGAAAUGAAUUUCACCUCAGUUACAAUGUCGAGGUAACGAAGGAUGACAUGAAAAAUGAGAACUUUACCCCUUGACUUAAAAAUAGCCGAGAGAUAAUUUAAAUGGUCAUGGAUUCGAAACCCAACAAUAUAUUUUUUAUAUUUUUCAAACUAGCAUCAUAUACCUCUCGGUUUAAUAACAAAACCGAGAAUAUAUAUAUAUAUAUAUAUAUAUAUAUUUAAUAUAUAUAUAUAAUAUAUAUAUAUAUAUAUAUAUAUAUAUAUAUAUAUAUAUAUAUAUAUAUAUAUAUAUAUAUAUAUAUAUUAUAUAUAUAUCAUUACAUUGUUUACACAUAAUAUUAAUAAAAUAAUUUGCUUACAAACUAUAUUGUUUACACAGAAUAUUAAAGUAAAAAUAUUAUUCUUUAUCGUCAUCGUUGUCGGUGAAGAAUAAAUGAUGGAUAUAUUUAAAAAAAACAAAUAUUAGGGAUCCUCGUUUCAUUGAUCUAAAGGAAAAUCAAAUACCAAAUGCAAUAUAUUUUCUAUGACUUUCGCAUUAAUUUGUUUCUGAUAUAAAACAAAAAAAAAGGUUAAAUAAAUAAAAUAAAUAUUCAUUUAAGAGAUUAGGUAAGAAUACAAACCUUGAACCAAUUUUUUCCGGUACUUGCAAUCUAUCACAUAAAUCUUUGGCAAAGUAAAUACAUCUCACCAACCACAUAUUAAAUAAACCUAAAUUUUUUCUGCUCUUGCGCAAUCUAUCACAUUGAUACUUUUACUUUGUAAAAUCUCAUGACACUCUGAUUAAACAUAAAGGGUUUCACAACAACCUUUAGGUUUCUUGUGAUUCACUACUAUCAAAUUUUAAUAUUCAGAAUACUUUUAUAAUGAGGAUUGUAGGUUUCACAAAGAUCACUAAUGACAGUGUCUUGAGCGUUGAUACUUAUUAAAUAGAGGAUCAAGAUUUGUUUAAGGACAGUGAAAAAAUUGAAAAACACGUUAAUAUUUUAUCUCGGUUAUUACUCAAAAUCGGGGUAAAUGUGUUUCUUUUUAAAUAAAAAACAAUAAAAUACGUUCCGACCCAAACGUCACAUACUUCUCGGUUUUUGUUAAAAAUCGAGGGGACACAGUUUUUUUUAUAUUUAUAUUGUUUACACAGAAUAUUAAAAUAAACUAUUUAAACAAAUCAAGAGUUUGACUAUGGAUUUUUGGAGAACAACUCAUCUUUUCAAAUUUCUGAUAAGUUAUCUGUUUUAAAUAAAUGACAUUUUUUUCUAUACUUUCAAUCCAUCAUAGAGAGAUUUCAUUAUGUUAAGCAAAUGUUUGCAUGACAAAUGCUUUUACAUGAAAUAGAAAUUGAUUAUGGUGUUUAUGAAUAAAUUUUUCAAUGUUUUCAACUGAAGAAAAUAAUAACUUUUUUAAUAUUUUCUUUGAUUGACAACAUAGGAAGGUUAUUACAUAAAUACAACAACAUCAAUAUCAUUAUGUGAGAUAGAUUGCAAAAUAUUUUAUUCCGUACCAAAGAAUGAUGCAUAAAGACUUUGGAGCGGUUACAUAUAAGUUAAGUUUAUGAUAAAAUUUGAUUAAUGAGUGCUUUUAUAAUAAAUAUGAAAAUUUAAUCUCUCCGUUAUUAAAUAUAACCGAAGAAAUAAAUAAUUAAUUUAAAAAUAAAAAUAAAAAUAAAAAGAAAGACACUAUUUUAAAAAAAAAUGUUGAGGAUAGGAUUCUAAACAUGUUAUAAAAUACUUUUCCUUUUUAAUUUUAUUUUAAAAUCGAUGUAAUAUAUGAUAUUUAUUAAAAAAAUAUAUAAAAUAUGUCAUGUACUGAUCCUUUACCUUAAUUUUUUUAUUUAUAGGAGUGAUUUCUCAUUAUUUGAUUUGAGUUGAAGAAAAGUUUUCAAUUGUUAGCAUGAACCAACUCUUUUCGAGAUGUGUGGAACACGUUAAUAUUUUAUUUUGUGUAUGACUAUAUUGACACGUUAGUUUUUGCGUUAUUAAUGAUAAUAAUAAUAAUAAUAAUUAUUAUUAUUAUUAAACAUACCCCUUUCUAUCUUCAAAGAUAGUUUUAAAAUAUUAAAUUCUAAUUAUUUACAAUUUUUUUACUAUUUUAACAAAUAUGUUAAAUAAAUAAAAUACAUCACAUUGAUCUGCUUAAGAGACAAAAAAAAUAAAAUAGAAAUGAAAUCUUAAAACUCCCUAAGAGAUACCAAUAUUUUAUAUUUGUAGCAUAACCUUCUAUUUAAAUUUAAACAUUAUAAAAGAGUCGAAUAAUGUUCUAUUUAUUUAUUGUAUGUAAGAGAAAAAAAUAUGGGUAAAACUCUCAUGUUUGUGUAUGUUGUGGUUUUAUUUCUAUUUCUAUUUUUUGUUGCAAGGAAUGAUGGUGGCUCACGUAAUUUAUUUUCUCAUCAUUUUCAAAUUUUCUUCUAUAAACUUGUAUCUUUUAUAUAUCAUGUUAGUAAUAACAUUAUUUUACUAUGUCUUUUUUUUACAGCACGACGAUUUAUUCCUUGUAAAACACGUGCUGAUUGUCCAGAUAGUUCUGAGUUUCAAAAGUAUAUGUGCAUUGAAAGCCUAUGUAAACUUAUUAGAUUGAAGUGAAUCACUCUAGUAUAAAAUAAACUUGAUGAAAUAAAAAAGUUUCUAGUUAAAUUAAAAUUGCCUUGUUAAAAUCAAUUAACAAUUUAUGUCAACAAUGCCAAAUCAAUUGAAAAAUAAGUCAGAUAAGUAGGAAUAUUUACCGCAUACCCCACCUUGUUCCUAUAUUUUUAUAUUUUAUAAAAAAAACAUCAACUUCGUCUUUAUAUAUUUUAAAUUAAUUCAUAAUUUAAAAAAAAAAAAAAAAUUUAUUUUAUGUAUCAAAAGAUUUUAAAAAAAAUUAUGAUAGUCAAUUCUUUAAAAAAAAUUAUUUUUAUUUUGUAUAUCGAAAGAUUUUUCAAAAGAGUUCUAGUAGUUAGUUUUUAACCUUAACUUUUAUUAUGUGUAUUGAAAAACUUUGUAAAAAAAUUCGAUAGUCAAUUUUUUAAUUUUUAUUUUGCAUACCGGAAGACUUUGUAAAAGAGUUUCGAUAAUCAUUUUUUUUUAUAUUUUGUGUAUUAAAAUAUUUGCAAAAGAGUUUUGAUAGUCGAUUUUUAACUUUUAUUUUACGUAUCGAAAAAGUUUUGUUAAUCAUUUUUAACUUUUAUUUAAUGUACCGAAAGAGUUACGAUAGACAGUUUUUUAAAAUAUUUUUUAACUUUUAUUUGUGUAUCGAAAAUUUUGCAAAACAGUUCUCAUCGUCAUUUUUUAAUAUUUUUUUACUUUUAUUUUACGUACUAGAAGACUUUGCAAAGGAGUUCCGAUAGUCAUUUCAGAAAUAUUUUUUAACUUUUAUUUUAUAUACCGGAAGAUUUUACAAAAAAGUUUCGGUAGUCAAUUUUUAACAUUAAUUUUUUUAUAUAUCGGAAGACUUUGGAAAAGAGUUACGAUAAUAAUUUUUUUUUAAUAUUUUUAACAUUUAUUUUCUGUACCGAAAAACUUUGUAAAUAGUCAAUUUUUAUAUAUUUUUUAAAUUUUAAUAAAUUAUUUAUAUGAUGACAUUUUAGUUUAAAAAAAUAUAAUGUAGGGGUAGGGGAAUAACUGAUGGGGUAUGGGAUAAAAUUUUCUACAAGUAGGGAUGGUAAAACGAGUCGAACCCGUCAGACCGAUUCGUUUGACCUGCCAUUUUUGUUGGCCCGGAUCAAAGUUUUCGACUCGCUGCCUUAAGUUGGUAUGUCCCUCCUAAUUCGCUUUAAAAACGGGAUGGGCCGGGGCAAAAAAUUUCGCAGGUUUUUUGUAAAAAUAAAUUUGACUUUGAAUUAAAAUUAAAAGUAUAUCGAGGAGAUUAAUCCACUGUUUUUUUUUCUUUAUGAUAAAAAUCAAAAUUUGAAUACUUACGUCUAACAUUUCCAUGAAUUGAAAAUUUUAUUUUCGUGUUGUUUCACUUAGAUGGAUGGUGGACAUAAGUUGCAACCAUAAAGCUAAAUAAUUUAUCAAAUAGGACUUAAAAGAUUAAGAAGUAAUAAAAUAGUAAAAAAAUAUAUUAUUAUUUAAUAAAAUACUAUAACUUUUUAUAUAUUUUAUUAUAUAAUGAUUUCUUAAAAUUGUGAAUUAUUAUUUGGAAGAUAAUGAAAUAGUAUUUUUUUUUAUUAUUGUUUAAUAAAAUACUAUGAUUUUUUAUAUUUUUUAUUAUAUAAUGAUUUCUUUAAAUUAUAAAUUAUUAUUUGGAAGAUAAUGACAUGAAUAAAAAAUAAACUAAAUAUAAAAAUUUAUAAACAAAGCGGUAAAUCAAAUUGUAAAUAAACUAAUAAUUAAAAAAUUGUAAAUAAAUUAGUAGUUAAACUAAAAGGAAAAAGAAAAAAGUUUGACGGAUCGGCUCGUCAAUCUGCCAGCUUGUUAUUAAACAGGACGAGAUUGAUUUUUGAGCUCGAUCACUUAAAUUGAUUUGUUCCUCCCUAUUUUUGAAUGGAUUUAAGUGGGACGAGUCUAAAAGAGGCGGACGAUCGAUUUUGCCACUUCUAUGUACAAAUAUACAAAAUCAUCAUCAAAUAAUAAAUUUCAGUUAUAUCUACUAAGAUGUUAUUUUCAUCAAUAAUAGUAUUUAUUUAUAUUUAUACUAAUUUUUUAAUUAUAGUUUGGUAUUCUAAAAUCUUAAAAAUAAUUUAAUUUAAUUUUGCAUGUGUCGACAUGGCAACCAAUUAAAGCAUAUUGUAAAAUAUUUAAUAGUUAAAAUGAAAAAAAUAUAUUUUAAUUAAAAACUCAUAAUUAUAAUUCCAUGUCAUAAUAAUGUUACACUUUUGAGUUUUCAAACAAUUUAAAUUAUACUUCUCUUAGAUAGAUAGUCCAAUGAAUUCUUCACCAAAGCUCGUCUCCCCAAAGCCUUCGCAAUUGAUUUCAUUGCUUUAAUCCAUAAGUCCCACAAUCUUCAAACUAUCAACGAUUUUUGACUUAUCACUCUUAUUACAAUUGUUUAUAAGAUUAUCUCCAAACUAUUAGUGGGAAGAUUUAGAAAAGUCAUCGGAAAACUGGUUUCAAUGAACCAAUCUACUUUUGUCCUUGACAUAAGUUUAUCUGAUGUAAUUCUUAUUGUUAAUGAGGUAGUUAACUAUGCUCGAAGGAAUAAGAAAAAUUGUUCGUAUUUAAAGUUGACUUCGAGAAGGUCUUUAACUCAAUUUCUUAGAAUUACCUUCUUUAUGUUCUCAAGAGAAUGAAAUUCAAAAAUAUUUAGAUCAAUUGGAUUCGAGCAUGUGUUUGUUUGUGUGUGUAAGCGCGAGCAUAUGUUUGUGUUCUAAUUCAUUCUCAAUCCUUAUUAAGAUAUUCCAACAACUGAUUUCCAAACUGAGCGUGGUCUUUGGUAAGGUGACCCACUAUCCCCUUUUCUAUUCAUCCUGGCAGCAGAAGGUUGAACAUGUCUUCUGAGAUGUGUAAGCUCUUCUUUGGAUUUUAAACCUUUUAAGAUGAAGGGUAACUUGGAUGUUGAUUUACUGCAAUUCACGGAUGACAUUUUAUGCUAAGUAGUUAUCACAAAUUUUCUCUUCUAGAGAUGCUCUGACUAAAUGAAAUUUCUAAUCCACUUGUCCACCUCUUUAAUUAAAGAAAUGUGUCAAAUGCUUAUGCCAAAAAUAUAUAUUAAAAUAUGAUGUGAGUCACUUUUCAAGCCAAUUGAACUCUUAUUACAAACAAAAUAAGAUAAACCUUCUUAUAAGCAAGUGUAUAUUUAAUUUUGUAAGCAAAACCUUGCCCAUAACUAACUUUGGACUUACCAUUAAAAAUUGGGAUCCCCAAAUGAAUGAAAGGAGUGGUGUCAAUAAAAGAGCCUAAAAGCUCAACAAUUAAUUGUUGUCUCCUAUCUAAAAAUUGAACUAGAUUAAAUGAUCAAUUUUCUAUGAUUAAUAGUUUAACCAUAAGCUUGCUCAUACUUUUAAAAAAAAUCCUAAGUUAUUGCAUAUUAGAUAUGAUGACU
Molecule: long non-coding RNA, 46519 nt
Filed under: Lathyrus oleraceus (garden pea)
Lineage: Eukaryota; Viridiplantae; Streptophyta; Magnoliopsida; Fabales; Fabaceae
Description: Pisum sativum (pea) long non-coding RNA (PSAT_LNC038794)
Source: RNAcentral